This 51892-nucleotide long non-coding RNA is filed under the name Triticum aestivum (bread wheat). Its description in RNAcentral is "long non-coding RNA (TAES_LNC008073)". The stretch from base 11610 to 11696 matches the Rfam family "MIR1120/MIR1122 microRNA precursor family". Lineage: Eukaryota; Viridiplantae; Streptophyta; Magnoliopsida; Poales; Poaceae. The record is from RNAcentral.
CUUGCCUUGCUUUAUAUAUAAAGCAACGGCCAACAUACACGCAACUGCAUACAAUACGCCGCCACCACACACAAUACACAACACACAUCCAAGGUAAGAUGCAAGGGUGCCGAGGAAUAGCAACACCCGUGCCACCAAGCACACUACAAAUGGACCAAAAAGAACAACUGGAGUCGACUGAGACCUUCAUCAUGAGCUAUGCACCACGAAUAUGUGAAGCUGGACAUCGAUGAAACAUACACUCAAAAGUGGUACCUACAAGAAGGAUACACCACGCCCAAUCCCGGGGAUCAGUUUUUCACCCAGAGCGCCAAGAAGGACAAAGAGUGACUGCCAUGGAGCCUUCAGGAAGGUAAUGACGCCCGCCGACACUGCUCCUGUCGGCCUAGAAAAAAUAAGUUAUGCACCCCAACGCUCACACAUCUUCGCUGAACCAGGGUACCGCCAAAUGCCAAAGUAGCUGCAACACCAACGCCAUGCUACGCCAAACACCAAUGGCCAUAGUAGUCCGCCGGCACCGAGAGGCGUGCUCACAUAAGAAUAUGAACAAGAGAGUAUUUGACAAGCAUUGCUCACAGCAGAAUGUAAAGUUUAUAAGAUCUAAACGGAUAACCCUAGCAUUGCACAUUUAAGCUUGCGUCGUAACAUAUCACACAUGGAGUAGGAAACUUGGUAAACUCAGUUAGUAGCCCUUUUUGUUGCUUACUUGUUAGUGCUUAUUUCGAAAGAAAGCUGAAGAAAUGUGGGUAAACAUCCACUAAAUCAAUUAGGGAACAUGUGACUCAAGGCAUAUAACACAAACAGGUUCAGCAAACAUUAUUGGUUUACCAAAGUCCACCAGGAAACAUGUGCAACAAAGAAAAACAGAAAAGCAAGUCAUCUUGCAGAGAAGUAGAAGUCAACCACAGAAAUUUCUAAUCUUCUGUAAAGCACUUGCGCAGUCAAAUACAGAAUAAUGGAAUCUCAGUUUACCUACUUAAAAACCACUUGAUAUGAAAGGAAACUUUUCUACAAAGUAAUCUUGCAGAAUAAGCUCCAGAAGCUGCCAAUACUCCAUCAUGACUUGGAUGAUUUUUCGAAUCCAGAAUUAAUGGCUUAUAAUGCAUCUGAAAAGGUAGAAUACAGCUGAAUCAGUUCACUCUUGCGCACGUCAUUAACAUGUAUUAAGGAAUACUGCAAAAUCUAGACAAGAAUGGAGAAACUAAUUACAAACAGGAAAAAAAGAAGUAUUCCAUGGAUAGGCAAACUCUCUAUCGAUCAUACAUGUAUGACAAGCAGAAGUAACGGCUAUACGUUGCCGGUUGAAUCCACCCACAGCAUAAAUAAAGAUAUACCAAGUAGUUUCAUUCUCUGACACAAAAUCUGCAGAAUAGUUUGUCAUGAGGUUUCUAACUAUGAUUGAUAAACAUAAAUAGAGGUUUAUUAGGACGGAUUCUACUAACUGCAUCGCCGACACGGGGAUGAUGCACGGCUGUCAACUGCGAAAGAUGCCAAAGCACACAAAUAAAAGAGGCCACUGAGCCCAACCCGUGACACAGCACCAAACAGUGCACACGGACGAAAAGAUGGUCUCCGAGUCCAGUCGUGACCCAGCACCGAUAAGUGCGCACGGAACAAAACAAAUGCAGUGAAAUAAUCCCCUACGAGGGCACAGUCGUAAAAAAAUAGUGCAAUUGCAUCCCCUGGGUUGGCAUGUGCUAUACAUUAGCACGGGGCUUUUUGUUCAAAUUCCUUUUUUAAAGAUUUUUUCAACACAACACCUCUUGUAUCCUUGCCUUGUCGGUUGUCGCUCAUCACUUGAACAACUCCAGCACCGCCACCAUCGCCGGGAUGCAGCUCUAACAGCAAAAACCGGAAGCCAACCAUGGCGACUAGCGUGUCUGGCUGCGGCGGCCAUGGAGAGGAGCGCUUGAAGCCAGCCAUGGUGUUCAAUCGCAGCUGCCAUGAGGUUCAUGAGCCAUAUCCGGACCUCCUGCAGCAAUCAGAAUCGAGAAAAAUUUCAGUAACAUAUUGCUGUCUCUGGAUUCGGAAAUGCCUAAAGCAAGAAUUACAUCGAACUUCAAAUAAGAAACACGGACUUCCCUUAUUCAAAAUGAAAGUAAUUUCCAACGGAAAUAACAGCCCUACAAAUUCAAAUAAGAAACACCAAGGAAAAAAAGCCUGCCUAUGAAACGGCCCUGUUCCGUUCCUUGGAGUCUGCCUAUGCUCUCCGCGCUCUUGCCCUUCGCCAUAUUAGAUCAAUGUUCAGCAUCAGUAAUAGUACGGCAGCAGAAUUUUAACUUGCCUAAAAUAAAGUCUACUGCUUGGUGAGAAAAUGUAGCAGUAGCAAACGAAACCUCAAGCAGAUUAAACAUUUACUAUAGUACAUGGACUUCUCGUAACCACAGAAUUACCAGGCCAUCAGUAACAGCUCGGCAGAACAUGAGAAAAUGUCAAAGACAAGGAUCACCAUUUUCAGGAAAUAAAAACAGUGAGCAUAUUACAGAAGUUAGAAGUAAUGUAAACAGUGAGCAUACAGCUAGCUCUAGUGUCACCAACUAGGAUAAUUACCGAUGCUUCACAUUCACUUCCAUGUCAAUCACUUAAGUGGAGAUAAAACUGAAACUUCCUUGCUAUAACAACCACAACAUAUUAACAAAAAUGAGCGAUGCAGCUCUAUACCUACUAAGAAAAUCCAUCAACACGCACACACUCAUCAGAUUCCGACACAAUAUAUAUGUAUCCCACAUGACUGAGUUACAUGUGUGGAUGUGCUUCCAUACAGCCAGCAAUCAAGACAUCCUCAUGUCCCUUAAGCAAGACAGGACUUGCACAAUGGUUGAAUGUGAAAGAUAUUCUCGUGAAAAUAUCUCUCGCGGCCUGCAGUGAGAAAAUAGAACAAAUUAUCCAACUGCACAGCAUAUUCCUAUUCUUGUCUAGCUAUUAAAAUGUAAAACAAAAAAUAAUUAUCAGGUGUUCAUAGUCUAAAAUCUGUUGCUUAUACUAUUUACCUGUAUCAACAUGUACUGAUAAAAUGCCAUGGAUAUUUGCACAGCUAUCAAGCAAAACAGCAUCAUAUAUAACUUCCAUAUUUGCACAGCUAUCAACUAAAGCAGCAUUAUAUAUCAACCCAGCAUUUUUUUAAGAAUCUUCUACUAACAGAAAUAAUUCUUUAGGAUAGUGCUAACCAGAUCUCUGUAGCCAAAUAAUAAGAGCCUGAGUCAUGUCCAAAUUACCACAAUCAGAGAACCAACAUUAUCCUUUUUGCUUACUAGUUUCAUUAUAUAUGCAAAACAUAUGGAUAAGCAACCUGGAAAUAUUCGCGCAUUUCAUCAUGAUGGCAAAGAAGUAGUGAUCUUUACCUUGAUCAAACAAGGAGAGCAGUUACUUCAUUUGCUAAUCCUAUUCCAUUCUAGCCGGUGCAUGCAGAGUCAAAUUCCAACUAAUAGUAUCAUCAUUUUAAGAUCUGUAACCUCCUCUUACUGCACGUAUACAACGAGUUCAGAUAUAUUACAACACAAGUGGUAUGCAUUGCUCGUAGUUAAUAGUAGCAUUGCUCACAUAAGAAUAUGAACAAGAGAAAGUAUUUGACAAGCAUUGCUCACAGCAGAAUGUAAAAUUUAUAAGAUCUAAACGGAUAACCCUAGCAUUGCACAUUUAGGCUUGGGUCGUAACAUAUCACCGAUAGAGUAGGAAACCUGGUAAACUCAGUUAGUAGCCCUUUUCGUUGCUUACUUGGCACUGCUUAUUUCGAAGGAAAGCUGAAGAAAUAUGGGUAAACAUCCACUAAAUCAAUUAGGGAACAUGUGACUCACGGCAUAUAACACAAACAGGUUCAACAAAUAUUAUUGGUUUACCAAAGUCCAUCAGGAAACAUGUGCAACAAAGAAAAACAGAAAAGCAAGUCAUCUUGCAGAGAAGUAGAAGUCAACCACAGAAAAUUCUAACCUUCUGUAAAACACUUGCACAGUCAAAUACAGAAUAAUGGAAUCUCAGUUUACCUACUUAAAAAUCACUUGAUAUGGGAGGAAACUUUUUUACAAAGUAAUCUUGCAGAAUAAGCUCCAGAAGCUGCCAAUACUCCAUCAUGAGUUGGAUGAUUUUUCGAAUCCAGAAUCAAUGGCUUCUAAUUUCUAAUGCAUUUGAAAAGGUAAAAUACAGCUGAAUCAGUCCACUCUUGCCCACGUCACUAACACAUACUAAGGAAUACUGCAAAAUCUAGACGAGAAUGGAGAAACUAAUUACAAACAGGAAAAAAGAAGUAUUCCAUGGAUAGGCAAAAUCUCUGUCGAUCAUACAUGUAUGACAAGCAGAAGUAAUGGCUAUACGUUGCCAGUUGAAUCCACCCAUAGCAUAAAUAAAGAUUAGUUUCAUUCUCUGACAAAAGAUCUGCAGAAUAGUUUGUCAUGAGGUUUCAAACUAUGAUUGGUAAACAUAAACAGAGGAUAAGCACACAUGAAUUUUUCCUGAGUUGUGUAGAAAAAGGCCUUUAAAGACAAUAAUGAAGAGAGUACUAUUACAUAAUUGAUUUAUAUUUCCGUUUUUCCUCUCCAACUAGCGAGGUUGGGCAUAAACCGUGGAAUUAAUAACAAAAUAAAUGAGAAGAUUCAGAGUCUGGGUGCAGCGGCGACCUUGGUGUCGCGUGAAGCAAUGGUGCGAGGCCGCGGCAGAAAGCGGUGGUGCAAGGCGGCGGCAGCAGGACGCGGUGGUGUAAGGCUGCAUCGGCGGAACGCCGUGGUGCUGCCUAGGCCACUGCGGCAGGGCUGUUGGCGAUGGCUAUGCUAUUGGCGGUGCCUAGGGCUUCCUCGCUGCUCCGUCGUUGCCGUUCCGAGGGGAUGAUGGGAGCAGGGAGGCUAACUAACCUAGGUGGAGAAAAGGGAGGACCCAGCGACGACGACCGCGGCGGCCAAGCUGUUGGUGGUGGCGGCGACGACGCGCACGCAGAGGUGCUACACCCGCCAUGAGUAGCAGGAGACUCUGCGGCGAAGACACAAGAGUGGAAGGGGAACGGGCCUCGGGCCGGUGCGGGACAAGAAAUCCACCGGGCAGAUUAGUACCAUACCGAAAGUUUAAUCAGGACAUGACCAGUUUAUUAGGCCCAAUUCUACUAGAUGUAUUGCCAACACAGGGAAAAUGCACGGCUGUCGGCUGCGAAAGAUGCCAAAGCGCACAAAUAAAAGAGGCCAUCGAGCCCAACCCGUGACCCAGCACCCAAUAGUGCACACGAACGAAAAGAUGGCCUCCGAGCCCAGCCGUGACCCAGCAUCGAUAAGUGCACACGGACCAACAUAAAUGCAGCGAAAAGAUCCCCUAUGAGGGCACAGUCGUAAAAAAAUAGCGCAAUUGCAUCCCUUGAGUUGGCAAGUGCUAGACAUUAGCACUUGGCUUUUUGUUCAGAUUCCUUUUUAAGGCUUUUCCUACAAGAAAACACAUGGGAUGCAGCGGCCAUCGAGAGCAGUGCUCGAAGCCAGCCUUGGUGUCCGCUUGCACUUGCCGCGAGGUUGCUUGUAGUGGCCAGGGCACAUCGCGCGGCCAGCUUUUUGCUGCCCCUCCUCGAUGUUUGUUGCUGCGGUGAAGAAGAAAGGGGAUGAGCGAGAAAUCAAACAUUCUAUGAAAGAGUGAGAUUUCAAACAGAAUAAGAUUGCUAGAUCGUAAAAUAGGGUAGCUAGGGUAGCUCAUGGUCCUAUGAAUUAUGUAUGGACAAAUCGAAACAAUACAUGUUGGUUGCAUAGAGCUCCUUAUUUUGUUAAGGAUCUUGUAAUAGCUGAUUGCAACCCUAUUGAAUUGAAAUAAAAUCUCGGAUUCCCUACAAAAAAAGGUGGAUGAGCAGCGGAGGAGAUGGAGAUGUGCUGCUACAGCAACAAGAGAGAUAUUUCACAGGGUGGGAAAGAGAUGAGAAUAAGAAGGGCGGUGUUGACGCCCAUUGCAAGGUGGAAUGGCAGGACGCUCGGAGCUGCCUCCCAUGCGUGCGAUCUAGCCAGAUCGGACGCAUCGCGUGCGUCCGGCUCAAAGUUGUGUUGACCAGCCAUGUUCAAACAUUUUCCUUUUUUAACAUAUCAGCAAACCGUGUAACUAUCUCUUUAUAUUGUUGUCCAGGGCAGUGCUAUACAAGGUACACAGAUCAAAUUCCACGUGAAGCGCUAAUGAUAGAGGACAGAACCAUAUAGACACUUACCAGUAGCACACUCUUGUCGUUGCACACACGCGCGUCGAGUGCAGAGAGACAUCAAGACAAACGCACUAACCAACGAAGAGCAUGAUUCCACGAGAUAGGCUAGUCUCCGACUUGCAUUCUGAUCUUAGAAUAAAGCUCUCAUCAUCAUGCCCACCAGGUUCAGAGGUGUGGGUGUUGGCUAUUCUGUCGUCGUCCUUGGCGAAACAAUAGCCAGGUUGGGCAUAAACCGUGGAAUUAAUAACAAAAUAAAUGAGAAGAUUCAGAGUCUGGGUGCAGCGGCGACCUGGGUGUCGCAUGAGGCAAUGGUGCGAGGCCGCGGCAGAAAGCGGUGGUGCGAGGCGGCGGCAGCGGGACGAGGCGGCGGCAGCGGGACGCGGUGGUGUAAGGCUGCGUCGGCGGAACGCCGUGGUGCUGCCUAGGCCGCGGCGGCAGGGCUGUUGGCGACGGCUAUGCUAUUGGCGGUGCCUAGGGCUUCCUCGCUGCUCCGCCGUUGCCGUUCCGAGGGGAUGACGGGAGCAGGGAGGCUAACUGGCCUAGUUGGAUAAAAGGGAGGACCUAGCGACGACGACCGCGGCGGCCAAGCUGUUGGCGGUGGAACUUCCGGUCAAAACCCUAUCUCAAGCAUCACCCUAUCCUGUAGUACAAAGUUUAAGUUCCAUAUCAGUUCUGCACUUGUCAUUUCUUCCGGUCAAAACCCGUUCUAAAAGUUGAAUAGAAUGCUAGUUGGUGGAACUUCCCUGAUCCUGAUUACAGGUGAAAAGCUCAGUUCUGUCACUGGCCAUCUUCUCAUUUCCAGCAUGGAGAGUGAGUAAAUUAUCUGAAUAAAUGAUUUCUAAUUCGUAGAAUGGCAAAUGUUUUCUUCUUUUUCAAUAGGCUCUGCAACAGUUGGAAAACAGCUGAUAAUGUCACCACCCUGCAAUUGUGCUAAUGUGCUGAAAUGGUUGUUUGCACUACAAACCUAGCUCCAGUUACACCUGCACAAAUUCUAGCCUUAAGUAGAAUUGACCGUUCAGUAAUACUACCCCAAUGUUACUUCAUUGGCAGCUAUCUCAAGCAUCACCCUAUCCUAUAGUACAAAGUUUAAGUUCCAUAUCAGUUCUGCACUUGUCAUUUCUUCCGGUCAAAACCCGUUCUAAAAGUUGAACAGAGUGCUAGUUGGUGGAACUUCCCUGAUCCUGAUUACAGGUGAAAAGCUCAGUUCUGUCACUGGCCAUCUUCUCAUUUCCGGCAUGGAGAGUGAGUAAAUUAUCUGAAUAAAUGAUUUCUAAUUCGUAGAAUGGCAAAUGUUUUCUUCUUUUUCAAUAGGCUCUGCAACAUUUGGAAAACAGCUGAUAACUUGUCAAAAGUAGUUGCAGAAGACGUAACGGGUAAAUGUAUCAUCAACUACUUCCUAAAACUUGGAUAGCUUUUUCUUUAGUUUCCCCAAAAGUGAUUGAAUGAAAAGUUAUUCAUGAUUCUAUUUCCUUCAGUGUCUCACAGUGCAUUGAUCUAGGAAGAUGACUAGUGAUGUAGGAAGAUGUCAGACUGGAUGGCAAAAAAGAAAGGGAGGUGGGAUAUGCAAUCUGUAGCACUAUCUGAAUUCUUACUUGGAUUAUCAUCACUUCCCGACUAAAAUUCUUGAUCAAGUGAUACAUGCUUGUCACGGUAGUCCUGGACAUUUCCAAAAAAUUGCAAGUGAUACAUUCUUGAUCAAGUGAUUUGGAUUAUCAACUUAUAUACUUAAUUUUUGUUGGACUGUAAUAUAUUGCGCUCAACAUAUUACAGUUCCUAAAGCUUUGCAUAUUGGGCAUAAACCGUGGAAUUAAUAACAAAAUAAAUGAGAAGAUUCAGAGUCUGGGUGCAGCGGCGACCUGGGUGUCGCGUGAUGCAAUGGUGCGAAGCCGCGGCAGAAAGCGGUGGUGCGAGGCGGCGGCAGCGGGACGCGGUGGUGUAAGGCUGCGUCGGCGGAACGCCAUGGUGCUGCCUAGGCCGCGACGGCAGGGCUGUUGGCGACGGCUAUGCUAUUGGCGGUGCCUAGGGCUUCCUCGCUGCUCCGCCAGUGCCGUUCCGAGGGGAUGACGGGAGCAGGGAGGCUAACUGACCUAGGUGGAGAAAAGGGAGAACCCAGCGACGACGACCGCAGCGGCCAAGCUGUUGGCGGUGGCGGCGACGACGUGCACGCAGAGGUGCUACACCCGCCAUGAGUAGCAAGAGACUCUGCGGCGAAGACACGAGAGUGGAAGGGGAACGGGCCUCGGGCCGGUGUGGGACAAGAAAUCCACCGGGCAGAUUAGUACCAUACCGAAAGUUUAAUCAGGAUGUGACCAGUUUAUUAGGCCCAAUUCUACUAGCUGUAUCGCCAACAUAGGGAAAAUGCACGGCUGUCGGCUGCGAAAGAUGCCAAAGCGCACAAAUAAAAGAGGCCAUCGAGCCCAACCCGUGACCCAGCACCCAAUAGUGCACACGGACGAAAAGAUGGCCUCCGAGCCCAGCCGUGACCCAGCACCGAUAAGUGCACACGGACCAAAAUAAAUGCAGCGAAAAGAUCCCCUGGCUUUUCCUACAAGAAAACACAUGGGAUGCAGCGGCCAUCGAGAGCAGUGCUCGAAGCCAGCCAGGGCACAUCACGCGGCCAGCUUUUUGCUGCGCCUCCUCGAUGUUUAUUGCUGCAGUGAAGAAGAAAGGGGAUGAGCGAGAAAUCAAACAUUCUAUGAAAGAGUGAGAGUUCAAACAGAAUAAGAUUGCUAGAUCGUAAAAUAGGGUAGCUAGGGUAGCUCAUUGUCCUAUGAAUUAUGUAUGGACAACUCGAAACAAUGCAUGUUGGUUGCAUAGAGCUCCUUAUUUUGUUAAGGAUCUUGUAAUAGCUGAUUGCAACCCUAUUGAAUUGAAAUAAAAACUCGGAUUCCCUGCAAAAAAAAGGUGGAUGAGCAGCGGAGGAGAUGGAGAUGUGCUGCUACAGCAACAAGAGAGAUAUUUCACAGGGUGGGAAAGAGAUGAGAAUAAGAAGGGCGGUGUUGACGCCCAUUGCAAGGUGGAAUGGCAGGACGCUCGGAGCUGCCUCCCAUGCGUGCGAUCUAGCCAGAUCGGACGCAUCGCGUGCGUCCGGCUCAAAGUUGUGUCGACCAGCCAUGUUCAAACAUUUUCCUUUUUUAACAUAUCAGCAAACCGUGUAACUAUCUCUUUAUAUUGUUGUCCAGGGCACUACUAUACAAGGUACACAGAUCAAAUUCCACGUGAAGCACUAAUGAUAGAGGACAGAACCAUAUAGACACUUACCAGUAGCACACUCUUGUCGUUACACACACGCGCGUCGAGUGCAGAGAGACAUCAAGACGAACGCACUAACCAACGAAGGGCAUGAUUCCACGAGAUAGGCUAGUCUCCGACUUGCAUUCUGAUCUUGGGAUAAAGCUCUCAUCGUCAUGCCCACCAGGUUCAGAGGUGUGGGUGUUGGCUAUUCUGUCGUCGUCCUUGGCGAAACAAUAGGCAGGCACCUGCCAUUUCGGGUCCUUCGGCACCGUUUCUGGCAUGAAGCUCAUCACAUGUGCAAUCCACCCUACGGGGUCACAUAAAUGCCUGCAAGAUAUUACAAAUUCAGGUUUAUUUUCGAACAUUAGUGAAAAUGUCAUUUACGUUUUUAUGAACCCCCCUCCUCCCCGCAUUACAUUAUCAUUAAUGAAACCAUAUACCACAUCCAAGUUUAUAGUAGUUUAUGCUCCGAAACCCGAAGUCCAAAAAUGAAAAACCAAGUCCUGCAAGUACAUCAUUUACUAUCAGUAUGACACACUCCUUUCUUUGUCAGAGCCUUGUUACAGAUUUAUCUGUCAUGUCAUAUCGUUAGCGAUCAUUCAUGAAUCUACGGCUUUGGUCCUAUCAAGAGAUAGAGGCAAAGCCAAAUGUCUUACUGGUCCUGGUUCAAGUUUACGACCAAAUUAAACAUGUAUGUAAAUAAUGUUACCUCCUGGUUGCUCAAGAUCUAUUGUAUGCAUUGUGCUGCUUUUAAUUGAUAGUAUUAGUUUUAUUUUUGCGGGUAAUUGAUAGUAUUGAUAGUAUUAGUUACUAGUGUGGUAUGAGCUUCACUUAGACUAGAAGAUUUUCCUUUGUGACAAAGCAAGUUGCAGCAACUGUCUUUAUGUGUGCCUUAGAGAGAUGCCAUAAUUUUCUUAUGAUUCUAUACAAACUGAUCUCAUCAUUAACACAUUGUUCUUAUUUCUAUGUUUGACUUAAGAAUGAUGAUAUCAAUUUUAGAUGGCACAUCCUGAUUUGAAGCCAUGACCGGCACUUGAUCCUAACGACCGAGCCAUAUCUUCUAUUGCACGGAAGCAACAUUGGAACUGUCCAGGCAAAUGAUUGGCAGUCCCGUCCGAGGGGCACGAGAGUGGCACCGAAGUUGUGAGUAUGAGUUUCUUGCGAGCUUGAGAAUUACAGUAUCAAUCUCCUAUUGAGCCCCUUUUAUUUAGUUCAGUUGCUCUGCACUUGGCCUCCUUGUUCCUUUGUCUGUUCUACCCUGUCAUUGAUUGUUCAAGCUCGCAAGUGAGGGUUUUUCUUUUCUAUACAAACCAUCAUCAAUUCAAAGAUUGCGUUUGAAAGAAUAAUGUCACCACCCUGCAAUUGUGCUCAUGUGCUGAAAUGGUUGUUUGCACUACAAACCUAGCUCCAGUUACACCUGCACAAAUUCUAGCCUUAAGUAGAAUUGACCGUUCAGUAAUACUACCCCAAUGUUACUUCAUUGGCAGCUAUCUCAAGCAUCACCCUAUCCUGUAGUACAAAGUUUAAGUUCCAUAUCAGUUCUGCACUUGUCAUUUCUUCCGGUCAAAACCCGUUCUAAAAGUUGAACAGAGUGCUAGUUGGUGGAACUUCCCUGAUCCUGAUUACAGGUGAAAAGCUCAGUUCUGUCACUGGCCAUCUUCUCAUUUCCGGCAUGGAGAGUGAGUAAAUUAUCUGAAUAAAUGAUUUCUAAUUCGUAGAAUGGCAAAUGUUUCAAUAGGCUCUGCAACAGUUGGAAAACAGCUGAUAACUUGUCAAAAGUAGUUGCAGAAGACGUAACGGGUAAAUGUAUCAUCAACUACUUCCUAAAACUUGGGUAGCUUUUCAUUAGUUUCCCAAAAAUUGGUCGAAAGAAAAGUUAGUCAUGAUUCUAUUUCCUUCAGAUACUAUGUGGGCAGAGUCUCACAGUGCAUUGAUCUAGGAAGAUGACUAGUGAUGUAGGAAGAUGUCAGACUGGAUGACAAAAAAAAGGGAGGCGGGAUAUGCAAUCUGUAGCACUAUAUCUGAAUCCAACAGCCAUAUCUGGACAUCCCAAACCUGUCAGAUUCACCAUUUUUAGCAAAUACAAACACUUCUGACUGACAAAUUGUGCAAAUAACUGAAAUACCAGAAGAAACAAGAACAAUAUAAAAGAGGAGCCAUAUCCACAUCUAUAAUUGUGCAGCAUGCAUACUUUGCACAGACUGAAUGCUAUUCUACUAGUAGUGAUGUACUACCUCCGUCCCAUAAUAUAAGAACGUUUUUGAUACUAGUGUAGUGUUAAAAACGUUCUUAUAUUUUGAGACAGAGGGAGUAAUUGUAGAGCGAGUUCAGUGAGUCUUAACAAAGUAUAUUCCGACAGCAUGAUACGUGGACAUUUCAUGGUUAAUGGCUGGUUGCUGCAAUUAAUCUGACCCCACCCGUCACUAUCUUGCGCAGAACAUUUUUCUUCUUUUAGUGUGUUUGAAAAGAGAAGUGUGUUAGCCGUCAGAGAAGACCUGUGAGACAAGCAGAAGUGUCAAACUUGUCCAUUGUUGACACUAGAUUUUGGCACGGUCAAGAACUUAUUUAACAUGGCCUCAAAUGGAGAAGUGAUCUACAUGAAAGAGUUCCAUAUUAUUGAUAUGAACAUCUUUGAAGUUUGGGUCAUCGUCGUUCGAUUUCAUCUCGAAGGCCGAAACUAUGCUCAAAGUACUAAGAUCUUAUAUUCAGAGUACAGUUUGGCCGAUUAAGCCCCUAAGACGACCUCAAAUGGAAAAAUGACCUACACGAGUUGUCUUCGUCUCGUCGAAACGGUCGAUUUUGAUAUAAAAAUCGUUCAAAUUCGAGUUCGUAUGCAAAAGUUAGAGCAAUCGGAGUGCAGCACUGUCACGAGGCGAGAUGUGGCGCGCCCCACCAGACACAUGUCUGAUGGGUAGCGCGAGGGAAUAGCCUAUUUUGCGAGACCGAUUUGACCCUCAAAUGACCUAUGAUCAAAAAACUUUCAACAUGAAAGUUGUUCGUCUCGUCGAAACGGUUAAUAUUGCUUUUGGGCUCGUUUUCAUCCGAGAUCGUUUACCACCACAAAAAAGACCUGCAAGGUGUAGCCAGUUUAAACCGAACAGUUUUGGAAAGUUCGGACAAAACCAAUCCGAAUUGGACUAGGGUUUUGGACGUGAAUUGAAGCCUUUUCCUUGCACGGGAAGUCCAGCCGCCUUUUAUAUACCUAAGGGAUGACGGCCGAUUGAACAACACACAAUCGACAUAUCAAUCUAUCAUCUUUUAUCUUUACCUUUACCUUCUCCCUUUGUUCUUCUUCUUCUCGUUCUUCAUUCGUUCUUCUUGUUGUAGGGCGGCGAACCUCGAGGACCUAGGGGCAGUCAGGCCGACCUAGGGCAGCCCAUAGCCGUCGCACGCCCUGACGGGGUCCCUCCCGGACGUGUGGGGUUUCGGGUCCUGAAAAGCACCCGCCGGAUUGCUUGCGUACCACGCUUCCGGACGGGUCUCCUUCAACGUGAGCUGCGGUGCAUCACCCUCGGCGUUGGAGGUACACUGUGACGUGUUCGUGUGCGAACACACUUUUUGGCGACUCCGCUGGGGACGAAGCUUUGAACGGUCUCCGGCCUAUUCUUGCUACGAAGAGAUCGUCAUCUAGGGUUUGCAAUCUACAAAGGUAAUAUGAAUUCCCAAUUCCCCUUUGUAGAUGCAAAUAAUCCAUAUGUUGUUGCUGGAUCUCCUAAUGAGCAUAAUGUAUCGACCAGCCCUAGUUUUAUCAAUCAUGCAUCUAAUUAUGCGCAAGGGCCGAUGCAAAGCAAUCUUCAUGCUUCAAAUUCUUAUGAUUUUAGCAACGUACAACAUAUGUAUCCAAACUCUCAUGCAUCGGCAACCCCACAAAUCCAUAUGCCGAUGAACAACAUGAUGCGUUUGGUUAAUCAAUUUGAAACACCUCAUGUUAAAAUUUCCAAUAGCAUACAAGAAAGUAUUUCACCUUUUUAUUCAUCGGCAACUAAUUUGCAAUAUGUGAAUCCAACCUUGUCGAUGGAUGGGAGAAUUGGCCAUGCUACUACUAGCUAUUCGGCCAAUUACUCUCAACCAUCAUAUGGUACACCUCAUGUUAGUAAUUUGUCAGCACCGUAUGCAACUGUAGAUGUUCAUAAUUCGACCCCGCAUCUUCAUGGUCAUAGCCGAAUAAGUGAAAAUUUUACAGGAACACAUGUGCCGUCAUCAAAUACUGUAGCAUAUAAUGCAUACUCUACGCAAUUCAAGAAUUUCAACAACACUCACGAAUCAUUGCUGAAAGAAUCUGAAAGUAUUGCGGAACAAUUCCUUCCAGAAGCGGUUGUGGCUGCAUUAAAAAAGAGCUUGGCACAAGACAAGAGAAUUAGUGCUCUUUGCCUUGAACAAUAUGAAAAGGGGUUGUUUCCUGAUUAUGCUGCAAUAAAGGCUAGAGUUUUGCAGGAAGAUGAAACUUCAUCGAUUGAUAGUAUUGUUGAGAGAGCAUAUGGUUAUACAGCAGUGCAUACACCUCCACCUAGUAUUGCAGCAUAUUAUGCAUCCCUUACACAAUUGCAAAAUUUCGGCAACACUAACACUUCAUUACCGAAAGAUCCUAAAAGCAUUGGGGGGCAAACUAAUCCAGAGCGGGCUAAAAUUGAGAGGGGAGUUAAAGCUUUGCGCGAUAGGGUGCAAAUAUUUCGCCAAGAAAGAAUUGAUAGGGAAUUAGCUCAAAGAAAAGAAGCCUUACCAAUUGAUAUAACUGGUGAAAAGAAUGAUGAUUCGGAAACUAAAAGUGCUUCGGUUGAAAAAGCCGAAUCAAGUAGUAUAUAUUCCGAAUCCAUCAAAUCCAAGGAAGCAAACAUUGUUGAGAAAGGGCAUGGAAAGUAUAGCAAGACAGCCAUACUUGACUUUUCUGAAGUUAAUGGAACCUACUUCCUGCCCUAUGAGUUUCGUGCCAUAAAAAUUGAUAAGCUUCAAGAACAAGAACAAGUGGCCAAAGAAAGCUUGGUGGACGAAGUUCUUCGAACUAAUGAUGCACGAAAUCAAGAUAAAGAUGAUGACAUGGCAUUGGGGAGCUAUCCGAAGGCGGAGCAAGAUAUUCUUCAAGUCACACCACCAUCACGCUCUCCCAACAUAUUUGAAGAGGUAUGUCUAUCAAUUAAUUUACCUGUUUUCAGAUUUGGUCAUGACUUUGUUGUUGAUGCAUAUAUUAGAAAAAUAUUCAUAAGAAAUAUUGAGAGACCAAUGAAGAAGGGUAAUUUAUUUGUUAACAAUCAGAUUGUCACAAAGCAUAUCGGUCAACACAUUACACCAUUCAGAAAGACCGAUAGUGAAAAAUUAUUGCAGCCAAGGCUUUCCCCAUUGCUUUAUCUAAAGUUCAUAUCUAAUUGGGUAGAUUUGCUUAUUUCUUACUUGGAUUAUGUCGUGGUUCUAACUCUGACAGUGAUGUAGGGGGGUAUGUAUGGAGAGGCUAGAUCUUAGCUAUGGAGGAGUUGUAAGCACACGAGGAUUACGAGUUCAGGCCCUUCUCGGAGGAAGUAACAGCCCUAGGUCUCGGUGCCCGGAGGCGGUCGACUGAAUUAUGUGUGUAUGAAUAACAGGGGUGCCAACCCUUGAUACUGAGGAGGGGGGUGGCUUAUAUAGAGUUCGCCAGGCCCCUCCAGCCCUCAGUAAUGCAAGGUUUAAAGUACAUUAAGAUUGGGGGUUACUGGUAACGCCCCUAAUAAAGUGCUAUGAUGACCAUAAAAGCUACUUAAUGACCGACCGUUUGUGUGCAGGGUGACUUUAGAUCUCCUGGCAGUCGAGUGGUUGGAAUUUGGUCAAGUGAUUGCUUCGUGGUCGAGUGUCUUGAAUCUGUCGAGUGGGAUACCUCCAAGUCGAUUGAAAGGUGACUUCUUCUAGGGAUGUCCUUGGGUAGGGUACUUAGGAUAGGUCCAUGCCCCUAUCCUAGGUACAUAGCUUCAUCAUUAGCCCCCGAAUGGAUCGAGGUUCGAGUGGGGAAGGAGUUGGGGAUAUUUCCGACUGGUUCUUCAUGUUAUAUGAACGUCUUGUUUUGGAUCAAUUGUCACGGACGACGUCGUCAACUUCUUUCAGUCGCCUUGAUGCAUUCUUGGCCUCUUGUCGAGUGAAUUUCAUUACUUGUGAAGUUCUGAGUGACGGUGUGAAAGGGAUCUUCUGUUUGACGAGUUGUUCUGCGGCCCGCGGAUUUUGCGGGAUUUGAAUUUCGGGAAGCGCACGGGACGGGGGCAGCCGCAGUAAUCGGAUGGGAUAGGACAGAAGCUCCUCGAUCCCUGCGCCACCUUUUUUGCCACGUACCGUGCACGCGCCUGUUGCGGGAUUUGACGGGAUUGCCUGGGCCUACCAGUCAGCCAUUCGGAAGCGACCUCUUAUAAGCUGCCGGCUCGGGACUCCCGAACAGUGCGCCUUCACUUUUCCCCCUUCCUUCACAAGAUCCUCCGCCACCCCCGCUCCCACCUUGGUGCCGUAGGUCUGUUCGAGCUUCGCCGGCGACGAUGGUGAAGGAGAAGACAUCGGCUCUGCAGCGCGCGAAGAAGGCGGCGGUGCAGGGGAAGGGGAAGAAGUCCACUCGGGGCGGAUCUUCCUCGAGGACUGCUCUGCCCAAGGAUUGGAUCCAGAGCGACUGGAUGCCGUCGGUGAUUCGGCAGGAUGAUCUUGAUGAUCUGGUUGAGGGGGGAUUCAUUCCCCAUGAAUCUGCGCGUCUCCCGGGGAAAGAAGUCAAACCCCAGCCUCUUGAUGGCGAGUGCGUCCUCCUCGCCACCCAUAUCGAUCGUGGAUUCUCUCUGCCUCCUCAUCCUUUUUUCCGAAGCUUCUUGAACUUCUUCGGAGCGCGGCUCCAUCACUUUACUCCCAAUUCUAUUGUGUAUCUUGCUGCUUUUGUUUCCUUGUGUGAAAACUUCUUGGGUUGCUGCCCCCAUUGGGGACUCUUCAAGCACAUCUUCACUUGCCGCUCUCGGUCGGUCAAGAAGGCCAAGUCGAGUGACGAACGGACGCAGGUGAUCCAGCUGUGCAGGGGCCUGGCGAUCCAGAUGAGGGGGAAAAGUUCCUUUCUGUCUAUCACUUUUCCUGAGUCAGUCCGUGGGUGGCAGUCGACUUGCUUUUACUGUAAAGACCAGGUGACCCCAGGACAGUCGACUGGGCUUCCCCCUUUUUCUCUGAAUCGAGCACAAAAACCUGCCUCUCUGAAAGUGACGCCGGAGGAAAAGGCGCAAGUCAAGGUGCUGGUCGGUCGAGUGGUUCAGCUUGUCUGUGAGGGUGUGACUGGCAUGGACUUGUUGGAAGUCUUCCUUCGGAGGCGCAUCCAACCGCUUCAGGCUCGUGACUACCCGAUGUGGCUGUACUCGGGUCUCGAAGACACCACUCGGAUUCACCCAAAGGAGGUCACUGAAGAGAUGUUGGAAGGGUGGUUGUCGAGUAUCACAGGGAACAAGGACAACCCCCGAGGAGCCAGGAGGAUUCCUCCACUCGACCAAACAUACGAAGUGGAUAAGGUCUGACCUUGCGUUUCCGACUGUGAUCUUGCUUUCUUUAUUUGUUCUUUUUGGAUCAGUCGAUUGACUUUUGACUCGUUUGUUGUCCUCUAGGCCACUACUGAGAUGUACUCGACACCCAAUAGAGCACAGGAGCAGGCCGAGGAAGGAGAGGCGAGCGGAGGCGAAAGUGGAGACGAGGGAGAAGAGUGGGAAUCUGACGGCGAAGGAGAGGGGGAUGACGACGACGACUCCAGUGAAGAGGAGGAGGAAGAAGUCGAACCUCCCCGCUCGGAACGGCGAUCCAAGCUUACACACGACCCUGCGCGGGAACAUGGUAAGGCGACUGUCCCUGUUGGGCAGUCAUCGAAGCGCCCUCGGACGUCAUCUCCAGCGCCAACAGAAAAAGCUCCCAAGCACUCACGCGCGGCGCCGUCCAAGCCGCCCAAGGCUCUGCCCAAGAUGAAGAUGACUGUCCCCACCAUUUCUGGGUAAUAGUAGAAUUUGUUUUCCUUUGUCGAACGUGACGGACUCUUGGUCGACUCAUUGAAUAAGCUGACUGACUUUCGAAAUUUGCAGUGCUGCCACCUCGGAGAUCUCCGCCAAGGACGAUGAUCAAGAGAUGGAAGACACUGUUACCUCCAACCCCGGUACGAUUACUGAUGCUCUGCUUUUAGUCGACUGACGAUUUCUUAUAAUUCCGGUCGAUUGGAUUUUUCUUGUAGCUCCUCCUCAUGUCAUUGACCUCCCUGAUGAUGACAACGAAGUGCCGCUGAGGGCACGAAGGAACAGGAGGGCGCCGGCUAGCAAGACCCCACAAACUACUCCGGCGCCUGAGCCGCAGUCCGGGAGGGUGGUGAUACCACUCGGGUUUCUGUGACCUUCGCUGAACCUCUGACGAGUGUCCGGCCUUCGACGUCGACUGCAAAUCCGCCUUCGCUUUUUGCCACACACCACGUCCCUGAGGACCAAGUGGGUGCCGCUAAAGAGGCUAUACGCUAGGUGGGGAUCAUGAUGGAGCAAGUGAAGGUGGUUUGGGAAGCCAGCCAAGCAGCUUAUGACGCGAGCUCAGCUCUUCAGAGCAACGUCCAGGUCAGUCGGUUCACCGCUUGUUCUGUUAGGAUAUGCUAUCUGAAGAAUCUCUUUUCCGAAGAUCUUGAUAUCUGUACGCCCACUGGGUGUGUCUAUUAAUCUUUUUGACGAGUGGGGGCACGCUAAGUGCACCCACUGGGUGUAGUCCCCGAGACUACGGUGGACUGCUGGCAGUCGACUAUAGUCUUUAUAUUGUGUUGCUUUAGCUGAACUUCUUCACUCGGUCUGGUCAGGCCUUGAUUUUUUUUGGUCGAACUAGUGGGGGCACGCUGAGUGCACCCACUGGGUGUAGUCCCCGAGACUGCUGUCGAAUGUUUUUGAUUCGACUGUAGUCUUAGAAACGCCAUCAUUGUCUCUUGGUUACUCGGAAGCAACUUAUCUUGGAUGUCUGUCAACUGAUUUUUUGCAGAAAUCCUGCGAACUUGUGGCUCGCUACACUGAGUUGGAGAACAAACAUAUCCAGCUGAACCUUGACUUGAAGCUUGCUCAGGAGAACUUGCAGAAGGCGAGGGACGAAGCAAAAGGUAUGGCUGGUGAGCUUUUGUCGACUGUCCUUUCUUUCUGGUCGUCCUCGAUGUUGAUCUCACUUGUUGUUUCGCAGACAAAAUGGAGGAGGCUCUGAAGAAGAAGGAUCAAGACCUUGCUGAAGCGCAGAAGGAGGCCCUGAACAAAACGAAGCUUGCUGAAGAAAAACUGGCUUCAGUCGGUAUUCUUGAAAAGGAAAACUCCAGGCUGAAAACUGCUCUCGACGCGGCUAAUCGAGAGGUCAGCCGUCUGAAGAAUGGCAAUAUAGCUCUGAAUGACAAUGCAAGUGAACUGGCGGGGAAGAGGAACGAUCUGGAGGCUUAUCUCGGUGGACUCACCAAGAAGCUGUUCGUCAUUCUCGAGGGUAAUUACUCCGGCCCGACUGACUUGCAGUUACCAAAUCUGCGUAGAGCCACUGACUUAUCCUUGAAUUGUGUUUACAGAAUUCUACCAGAACUUCGAAGAGGAGACCAGUCGAGUGGAGACAGACUUGGACCCCAUCAAUUCUCCAGUGAAGGACGAGGCUGCUAUGAACGUGCUCCGACUGGUAUCUCGUGUUGCCGGCGUUGUUGACUAUCUUGCUCGGUUGAAGGUUGCGAUGUCACGGAUCGACACGUCGCUCUGGCCUAGGACGACGCUUCAGAAUGACCUCGAGUCCUUGAUGACUCGACUGAAUGAAGUCCCAGGUCGAGUGGCGGAAUGGAAGAAAUCUUCUGCUAGAUGUGGCGCUGACGUCGCUCUGUCUCUGGUCCGCGUCCACUGCAAGGAGGCGUUAGAAGAAAAGUUGGCCGCCAUCCAAGUUGCCAAUACCAGGAAGCACAACUUUCAAGACUUCAUGGAGACUUUCAUUGCUGCUGGCACUCGCAUUGCAGACGGGAUCGGCUUGGACAAGUUCGUCGCCCCUUCCAGUCCUCCGCAUGAGGAAUAAAAACUUUUAUGCUUCACUUUAAAUUUGCCUCGGAAUGCCGAGUGGAUUUUGUAACCGUUAAACUCUGUCGAGCUGGAGGCUCGAGUACUUUGAUCUGUGGUCUAGAACCUUUGGAUCUUAUCUGAACUUGAUUUAUCGUUGAAUAUCUUCAUGAAUUAUCUGUCGAGUGGAACUUGUACUUCACUCGAAAUAACUUUGUAUUUGUGGUGCAACUCCGAAGGAGAAGGUAGCAGUCGACUUGCACAUUGUCGUCCUUGCGGAUUGGGAUGUGUUCCGUACUUAGGCGAGCACUGGGCUGCAGCUAAGCCUCCGAGUGGAAGGUCUGCUCUCCACUCGGUAGGAUUUUAAAAACUUAAGUGAGUACUGGACUGCAGCUAAGCCCCCGAGUGGGAGGUCUGCUCUCCACUCGGUAGGAUUUUUUCAAACUUAGGCGAGUACUGGACUGCAGCUAAGCCCCCCAGUGGGAGGUCUGCUCUCCACUCAGUAGGAUUUUUUCAAACUUAGGCAAGUACUGGACUGCAGCUAAGCCCCCGAGUGGGAGGUCUGCUCUCCACUCGGUAGGAUUUUUUCAAACUUAGACGAGUACUGGACUGCAGCUAAGUUCCCCCGAGUGGGAGGUCUGCUCACCACUCGGUAGGAUUUUUAAAUACUUAGACGAGCACUGGGCUGCAGCUAAGCCUCCGAGUGGGAGGUUUGCUCUCCACUCGGUAGGAUUUUUAAACACUUAGGCGAGCACUGGGCUGCAGCUAAGCCUCCGAGUGGGAGUCUGGCUCACCACUCGGUAGGAUUUUUAAACACUGAGGCGAGCACUGGGCUGCAACUAAGCCUCCGAGUGGGAGUCUGGCUCACCACUCGGUAGGCUUUUUAAACACUUAGGCGAGCACUGGGCUGCAGCUAAGCCUCUGAGUGGGAGUCUGGCUCACCACUCGGUAGGAUUUUUAAACACUUNNNNNNNNNNNNNNNNNNNNNNNNNNNNNNNNNNNNNNNNNNNNNNNNNNNNNNNNNNNNNNNNNNNNNNNNNNNNNNNNNNNNNNNNNNNNNNNNNNNNNNNNNNNNNNNNNNNNNNNNNNNNNNNNNNNNNNNNNNNNNNNNNNNNNNNNNNNNNNNNNNNNNNNNNNNNNNNNNNNNNNNNNNNNNNNNNNNNNNNNNNNNNNNNNNNNNNNNNNNNNNNNNNNNNNNNNNNNNNNNNNNNNNNNNNNNNNNNNNNNNNNNNNNNNNNNNNNNNNNNNNNNNNNNNNNNNNNNNNNNNNNNNNNNNNNNNNNNNNNNNNNNNNNNNNNNNNNNNNNNNNNNNNNNNNNNNNNNNNNNNNNNNNNNNNNNNNNNNNNNNNNNNNNNNNNNNNNNNNNNNNNNNNNNNNNNNNNNNNNNNNNNNNNNNNNNNNNNNNNNNNNNNNNNNNNNNNNNNNNNNNNNNNNNNNNNNNNNNNNNNNNNNNNNNNNNNNNNNNNNNNNNNNNNNNNNNNNNNNNNNNNNNNNNNNNNNNNNNNNNNNNNNNNNNNNNNNNNNNNNNNNNNNNNNNNNNNNNNNNNNNNNNNNNNNNNNNNNNNNNNNNNNNNNNNNNNNNNNNNNNNNNNNNNNNNNNNNNNNNNNNNNNNNNNNNNNNNNNNNNNNNNNNNNNNNNNNNNNNNNNNNNNNNNNNNNNNNNNNNNNNNNNNNNNNNNNNNNNNNNNNNNNNNNNNNNNNNNNNNNNNNNNNNNNNNNNNNNNNNNNNNNNNNNNNNNNNNNNNNNNNNNNNNNNNNNNNNNNNNNNNNNNNNNNNNNNNNNNNNNNNNNNNNNNNNNNNNNNNNNNNNNNNNNNNNNNNNNNNNNNNNNNNNNNNNNNNNNNNNCUGGGCUCCAGCUAAGCCUCCGAGUGGGAGUCCGGCUCGCCACUCGGUAGGAUUUUUAAAAACUUAGGCGAGCACUGAGCUGCAGCUAAGCCUCCGAGUGGGAGGUUUGCUCUCCACUCGGUAGGAUUUUUAAACACUUAGGCGAGCACUGGGCUGCAGCUAAGCCUCCGAGUGGGAGUCUGGCUCACCACUCGGUAGGAUUUUUAAACACUUAGGCGAGCACUGGGCUGCAGCUAAGCCUCCGAGUGGGAGUCUGGCUCGCCACUUGGUAGGAUUUUUAAACAGUUAGGCGAGCACUGGGCUGCAACUAAGCCUCCGAGUGGGAGUCUGGCUCGCCACUCGGUAGGAUUUUUAAACACUUAGGCGAGCAUUGAGCUGCAGCUAAGCCUCCGAGUGGGAGUCUGGCUCACCACUCGGUAGGAUUUUUGUUUACAAACUUAGGAGAAACGGAUUCGCAGCUAAGCCACCCACUGGGGGAUUUCACACGCAGACAAAAGCAACAACAAUUAUAGGAAAAUUUGUAACACUUUUGUCUUUGAUAAAUAGACUACAGAAGUUUUUCUUAUUACAUCUCAUCUGAGUGAGAAUUCAAGUGUGAAAGGGGCGGAGCAGUUCUGCAUUCCAAGCUCAUGGCUCAUCGAUCUGGCGAUCGACAUUGUAAAGGUGAUACGCUCCAUUGUGGAGGACUCUGGUGACGAUGAAGGGACCUUCCCAAGUAGGAGCGAGCUUGUGUGGUUUCUGUUGAUCCACUCGGAGGACCAAAUCUCCUUCUUGGAAGGCUCGACUCUUCACAUUUCUGGCAUGGAAUCGACGCAAGUCUUGCUGAUAAAUGGUCGAUCGGAUCAUAGCCAUUUCUAUUUCUUCUUCCAGGAGGUCGACUGGGUCUUGCCGGGCUUGUUCUGCUUCAUCUUCGGUAUAAAGCUCGACUCGGGGUGCAUUGUGAAGUAGAUCACUCGACAGGACUACUUCCGCUCCGUAAACCAGAAAGAACGGAGUUCUUCCAGUCGACCGAUUCGGGGUAGUCCUCAAUCCCCACAGAACCGACGGAAGCUCGUUGACCCAAGCGCCUGCUACGUGCUUGAGAUCACGCAUCAGCCGAGGCUUUAGUCCUUUGAGAAUCAGACCAUUUGCCCUUUCUGCUUGUCCAUUCGACUGGGGGUGGGCGACCGAUGCGUAGUCGACUCGUGUGCCUUGAGAGGCGCAAAAAGCUCUAAACUUGUCUGAAUCAAAGUUUGACCCAUUUUCGGUGAUGAUGCUAUGCGGGACUCCAUAUCUGAAUGUUAACUCUCUGACGAAACUGAUAGCAGUGCAAGCAUCAAGAUUCUUGAUAGGCUUGGCUUCAAUCCAUUUGGUAAACUUGUCGACUGCCACAAGCACAUGUGUGAAACCGCUCCUGCCUGUUCUCAAUGGGCCAACCAUGUCCAGUCCCCAAACAGCGAAGGGCCAGACGAGUGGAAUGGUCUUCAGGGCUGAUGCAGGCUUGUGCGACAUGUUGGAGUAGAACUGGCACCCUUCACACUUGUCGACUAUCUCUUUUGCCAUCUCAUUGGCUCUUGGCCAGUAAAAUCCCGCUCGGUAUGCUUUAGCCACAAUGGUCCGAGAGGACGCAUGAUGACCACAGGUCCCCGAGUGCAUAUCAUCAAGGAUUAUCUGACCUUCUUCUGGUGUUAUACACUUCUGACCGACUCCAGUCACGCUUUCUCUAUACAACUGUCCCUUUAUGACUGUAAAGGCCUUGGAUCGACGGACAAUUUAUCGAGCCUCUUCUUCAUCCUCCGGGAGUUCCUUUCUCAGGAUAUACGCGAUGUACGGUAUCGUCCAGUCAGGGGUGAUUGCCAAAACUUCCAUGAUUAGGUCGACCACUACCAGAAUUUCAACUUCAGUCGGAUAUGUGGCACUCUUUGGCUGUGGGGCUUCAUCUGUAAAAGGAUCGUCUUUGACUGAUGGCGAGUGGAUGUGUUCCAAAAACACAUUGCUGGGGAUGGCUUCUCUCUUGGAGCCUAUCUUUGCCAAAUCAUCAGCCGCUUGAUUUUUCAAUCGGGGGAUGUGAUGAAGCUCUAACCCCUCGAAUUUCUUCUCUAACUUUCUCACUACAUUGCAAUAACCAGUCAUAGAUGGACUUCUGACGUCCCAUUCUUUCAUCACCUGAUUAACCACCAAAUCUGAGUCGCCAUAAACCAUGAGGCGACGGACGCCGAGUGAAAUGGCCAUGCGCAACCCAUACAACAUAUUCUGCUUCGUUAUUGGAGAAAUCGAAGUGAAUCUGGAGAACAUAUCUGAGCUUAUAUCCUCGGGGGGAAACCAAUACUACCCCAGCACCGGAACCAUUCAGCAUCUUAGAUCCAUCGAAGAACAUGGUCCAGUGCUCCGAGUGAACUUGAGUCGGAAGUUGCUGUUCGAUCCACUCGGCGACAAAAUCUGCAAUUGCUUGGGACUUGAUAGCUUUCUUUGCCUCAAACUUGAUAUCUAGGGGAAGAAGUUCAAUCGCCCAUUUGGCCACUCGACCAGUUGCAUCUCUGUUGUGCAAAAUCUCUGAUAGUGGAGCGUCACUAACGACUGUAAUGGGAUGAUCAGAGAAGUAAUGUGCAACCUUCUUCAUGGUCAUAUAAAUCCCAUAUACAAGCUUCUAGUAAUGAGGAUAUCUUUUCUUUGAAGGAGUCAAAACUUCAGAAACAUAAUAUUCUGGGCGCUGAACUUUGAAGGCCUUUCCUUCUUCUUCCCGCUCGACCAUAAGUAUUGUACUGACAACUUGUCCUGUGGCUGCAAUGUAAAUCAGCAAAGGCUCCUUGCUGAUUGGGGCAGCAAGCACCGGCUGGGUGGAGAGCAGAGCUUUGAGCUCUGUAAACGCUGCAUCAGCUUCUGGAGUCCACUCAAACUUGUCGGACUUCUUCAUCAGUCGGUAAAGAGGCAAUGCCUUUUCACGGAGGCGAGAGAUGAAUCGACUUAAAGCGGCCAAGCAUCCUGUAAGCUUAUGGACGUCAUGCACACGCAUAGGACGUUUCAUCCGGAGUAUAGUACCAAUUUUUUCAGGAUUGGCAUCGAUUCCCCGUUCGGAAACGAGAAAACUGAGUAACUUCCCACCUGGGACUCCAAACGUGCACUUUGACGGAUUAAGCUUGAUAUCAUACCUCUUGAGGUUGGCAAAGGUUUCAGCAAGGUCAGUCAGCAGGUCAGAACCCUUCCCUGACUUGACCACAAUAUCAUCCAUGUAUGCCUCCACAUUCCGACUGAUUUGAGUGAGCAAACACUUCUGAAUCAUCCUCAUGAAUGUGGCUCCGCCAUUCUUGAGGCCGAACGGCAUGGUGACAUAACAGAAGCACCCGAAUGGAGUGAUGAAAGCUGUUUUGAUCUCGUCGGGCCCGUACAGACGGAUCUGAUGGUACCCAGAAUAGGCGUAUAGGAAAGACAAACACUCACAUCCCGUAGUCGAGUCGACUAUCUGGUCGAUGCGGGUGAGAGGAAAAUGAUCUUUCGGGCAGGCCCGAUUGAUAUGCUUGAAAUCAAUGCACAUGCGAAGUGACUUGUCCUUCUUGGGGACCAUGACAACAUUGGGGAGCCACUCGGAGUGGUAAAUUUCUCGGAUGAACUCCGCUGCUAAGAGCCGAGCCACCUCCUCGCCAAUGGCCUUCCUCUUCUGGACGGCGGACCAUCGAAGAUGUUCUUUCACAGGUUUAAAUUUUGGGUCGACUCGUAGACGGUGCUCAGCCAGCCCCCUGGGAACUCCAGGCAUGUCAGCAGGCUUCCAUGCGAAGAUGUCCCAGUUCUCACGGAGGAACUGGAUGAGCGCUUCUUCCUAUUUGGAGUCGACCGUCGUUGAGAUGUGAGUCGGAGCAGCGUUUGGAUCGGUCGGGUGAAUGUGAACUGCCUUCGUUUCACCGGACGACUGAAAAGCUGAUUCUGAAGCAGGCUUCUUAGCUGGUAGCAACUCACUCGGAUCUGCAGUCUUCUAAUACUCUUGCAGCUGGACCACCGCCAUCUGAGCGUCAGCAAUCUUUGAGCCUUUCUGAAAACACUCUUCUGCUUUCUUCCGAUUGCCUGUAACAGUGAUCACACCUUUGGGACCAGGCAUCUUCAAUUUGAGAUACACAUAACAUGGUCGAGCCAUGAAGCAUGCAUAAGCUGGCCUGCCCAAAAUAGCGUGAUAAGCACUUUGGAAAUCCACAACUUCGAAUGUCAACUUUUCCUUGCGGUAAUUCUUGGAAUCACCGAAAACCACAUCAAGAGCAAUUUGGCCGAGUGACUCGGCUUUCUUCCCAGGAAUGACUCCAUGGAAACUCAUGUUACUGGUGCUGAGCCUGGACAUCGGAAUGCCCAUCCCUUUCAAUGUUUCUGCAUACAGUAUGUUCAAACCGCUGCCUCCAUCCAUCAGGACUUUGGUCAGUCGAGUGCCUUCGACAACUGGGUCAACCACCAGAGCUUGCCUCCCAGGGGUGGCAAUGUGCGUAGGGUGAUCAGACUGGUCGAAUAUGAUGGCAGUCUGGGACCACUUCAGAUAAUUGGGUGUUGCCGGAGCAACCAUAUUUACCUCAUGGUUAAUAACCUUCAGUCGACUUUUGCUCUCAACAUCAGCAAAAAUCAUCAGGGUGGAAUUGACCUGGGGGUACCCAUCGUCACUAUCUUCCUUGUCCUCAACUUUGUCCGACUCCUUUUCCUUAUCUUUGGACUGCUUGCCGUGAAACUGCUGGAUCAAAAGCCGACAAUGUCGAGUGGUAUGCUUUGGGUAAAUGAGUUUACCCUCUUCAUCUUUCUUGGUGUGGAUGUGACACGGUAGAUCCAAAACAUCAUUUCCAUCUUGGUCUUUAACUUUCUUGGGGUUCCAAGGUCCUUUGGGUUUUCCCUUAAAUUUUCCCUGGGUUACGGCCAGGGCCACCCCAGGAGCGGCUGGCUCGGCUUUCCGAUUCUGUUUCCAACUGGAAUUUCCUCCAGUUUCCUGGGCGACUGAUUUAUGCUUGCCACUCUGGAGUCGAUCCUCAUCUUCACCAUUAGCGUAUUUGGUGGCAAUCUCCAUCAUCCGAUUCAGAGACAUCUCUCCGGUUCGACCGAACUUCAGACUCAAUUCUCUAUACUUAACGCCUUCUUUAAAGGCACAAACUGCUUGAUGAUCUGGUACAUUUUCAACUGUGUGAUGCAAUGUGAUCCACCUCUGGAUGUAAUCCCUCAGAAUUUCAUUCGGUUUCUGCAUGCAAGACCGCAAUUUCGUAAGGCCUGCAGGUCGCUUGCAUGUUCCUUCAAAUGCGGUGACAAACACUCGGGAGAGAUCCUCCCAAGUGUAAAUGCUGCUGGGUGCUAACUGAUUCAGCCACGCUCUGGCCGAGCCUUCUAACAUGAGAGGCAGGUGCUUCAUGGAUACCUCAUCGUUCCCACCGCCAAUCUGGACAGCCACUCGGUAAUCUUCGAGCCAAGUAUCGGGCUUGGACUCACCGGUGAACUUACUAACUCCAAUCGCCAACCUGAAGUUGGGAGGAAUUACAACGGCUCUGAUGGCUCGACUGAAACACUCCGGCCCUGAAACAUGUACUCUGCUACUGGUAGGCGCAUCUCUGUCGUGGCCUUCUCGAUGAGAUCUAUUCCUGUCGACCAAACCUUGAACGAGAAUGGAUCUCGCAUCAAAGCCUGGUUCCCUGGGGUCGACUGGAAUUCUCCGCCCAACACUAUGAGGGCAUCUGUCAACCUGCUGUCAAGGCACAUAUGAUCCACUCCUCGGGGGAGGGGUUGGCACUCGACAUCGAUCAUCACGAUCGAAUCGGUGAUCAUACUGCUCAUUCCUUCUGUACUGAUCACGCCGGUCUCCACGUCCCUCACGCCUCGGAGGCGAUCUUGGGCUGUGAGCCGACUGGACUGUGUCCGCUGCAACGGAUCGACUGUGGAUCCUGUUCCGCGACUGAGAAACAGCAGAAUUCUGGUCUCCCGUUGCCCGGAGCAACGCUCUAAUUCGAAACAAGCCUCUGCCAGCCUCUGACUGGGAGGGCGGAAUCGACUCUGCUAUAUGGGCCGCAGCCGCCAAAUUCUGAAUCGGAGUAUGAUAUACGUGCGGGGGCGGAAAGAGUUGACGUCGACUAGAUUCUGGAGCCCGUUGACGCGCUCGCCCAUCGAGUAUUCGCUGGAGAUUCUCCAGUCGAGUGCCCUCGGCCAAGUUAGCCAAGCGUGCGUCCUCCAAGGCUCGGGCCUCGGGGGUUUCUCCAACAAUAGGAGUGUGGAGUGCAUCCAUGUUCCGGCGGCGAAGUUCCUCCCGCUGCAACGGCGUGAGAGGCUCGGGGAGAUACUCCUCGUGAGGACACGACGGGUCGCCCCCAUCCGCGCCUCCGUCAGCGCGGGGGAAACCGGGAGGACUAUGUGGCACAUCGAUCACCAGAACCUCUGCAACUGGGUCACUGCUGUCGCAUUCGGAUGCGGUCUCUACGGAGCCAGUCGACAGGUCGAACAGGCCGUAGAGGGAUUCGUCGGGCUCGAUUGCCGCGACUUGUGGGGUGGCCGACUGGCGUGCCACGCAUGCCUCACCCACCUCUGAAGCCUCGACCGACCGGAGCGCUUGCGCCGGCGAGAAACAGGGGGGAGAUGCCACGGGAGCCGACCGAUACUGGGUCGAUGGCUGCCGCAGGAGGACACCACGGACGCAUGCGCGAAAGUGCGUUGCCUCGCGGACGGGGAGCGCGUCGACGUCGAGUGGAGCCUCCUGAAGCCAAGCGGAGUCGUCGGCGAUGAACGUGAGCGCGCCGAGAUGGAUCUCGCGUCCCUCCACCAAAGCUCCGCCCGAAACCAUGAUCAAGGAGAUCGGAAAAAGUCGCAACUUCUCAAACUAGGCGCUAAGACUCCUAGCCCCAUGGUGGGCGCCAACUAUCGUGGUUCUAACUCUGACAGUGAUGUAGGGGGGUAUGUAUGGAGAGGCUAGAUCUUAGCUAUGGAGGAGUUGUAAGCACACGAGGAUUACGAGUUCAGGCCCUUCUCGAAGGAAGUAACAGCCAUACGUCUCGGUGCCCGGAGGCGGUCGACUGAAUUAUGUGUGUAUGAAUAACAGGGGUGCCAAUCCUUGAUACUGAGGAGGGGGUGGAUUAUAUAGAGUUCGCCAGGCCCCUCCAGCCCUCAGUAAUGCAAGGUUUAAAGUACAUUAAUAUUGGGGGUUACUGGUAACGCCCCUAAUAAAGUGCUAUGAUGACCAUAAAAGCUACUUAAUGACCGACCGUUUGCGUGCAGGGUGACUUUAGAUCUCCUGGCAGUCGAGUGGUUGGAAUUUGGUCAAGUGAUUGCUUCGUGGUCGAGUGUCUUGAAUCUGUCGAGUAGGAUACCUCCAAGUCGAUUGAAAGGUGACUUCUUCUAGGGAUGUCCUUGGGUAGGGUACUUAGGACAGGUCCAUGCCCCUAUCCUAGGUACAUAGCUUCAUCAGCUUACACUUGGUCUCAAUUGAGACAUGUAUGUUCUAACUAUUUUCGUUUCAGAAAUUUAAAGCCAAGGUUAAAAUCUUCUUAGCAAACCGAUGCAAGUAUAGUUUCUCAUCCAAUGACAUCGGUAAGAGAAUGCAAAAUAAAAUUCAUAGCCGAAUGGGGUGAUACAAAAUCUGAACCAUUCAUUUGCUUAACUCCAAAGCUGUUCUCACAGCAAGAUCGGCUAGAAAAUAAAAGUUUGCCUUCAAUUCAAACAUGUGUGAUCAAAUAUUUGAUUUGUUGCUGAAAAAUAAUUACAUAAGAAUUCUUGAUCACCAUGUCAAGCCAUCAAUUCAAGGAUGAAUGUAUUGUAGGUUGCAUCAUUCGUUCAAACAUGAUUUUGAGGAUUACAAUAUGUUUCGUCAAAUAGUUAAAUCGUCCAUUGAUAAAGGACGAUUGAAAUUUGUUGAGACACCAAGAGAUGACCAGUCUAUUCCGAUUGGUCCCGAUGGCAGACAGUUUUUGCAUCGGCUGCUUCAAGCCGAUCCAUUUAAAAAGAAGGUAAAAAUUGCAGGUGAUGGGAUCGAGUUUUCAAGUAAAGAAUUUGUUGAAAAGCAUAAUGAACAUAAUCUUGAGGGCAAAAAUUCCAUCGAAGCUACAAUGGAGACGCCAAGGACUGGGGGCAGCAAGCAAAUCCAAUGAUCUGUGAAAGCAAACCAAAAGAAAACAAAGGCCGAAAUAAGCGCAAGUGUAAGAGAUCAAAAAUCACCUUCGCUGAACUAUUGGAUAAAUAUCAAAAGAAGAGUGAAGAGAAGAAUGCUUAUCGGCCAAAUCAUGCAAAGAAACCAAGAUCACCCCCAAGGCGCAAAUAUGAGGAUCGGUAUUGGCAAAGUGAUAAUUUUAAUGCAACAUAUUCAUAUCCUUAUUUUUGGCCGCCAAUGCCAAUGCCGUGGAUGCCUCCCUAUGUUCAUAUAGAUCCAUAUUCAUUAUGGGACAGGUAUGAUACAAGGGCACAUUCUCCAUCUUAUUUUAGACCAUCUCACCAAUAUUAUGCAUCUCCGAGAAGAUCAACAUUUGAACAAUCACAUGUUAAAGACCGUUUCAAUCGUAACGAAUCGGUCCAGAGCUCAAGGAAGAAGAAAGAGGCGGUAAAGCAAGUUUACCGCGUGAAAAGAGAUGGUCGUAAGUGUGCUACUUAAGAUUUGAUCUCAAAUAACAAAGAGCCAAUUAAAGUGUUGACAUUGGCUACAAAAGGCAAAGAAGUGAAGAAAUCAAUUGAUAAAAAUCAGAGUACCAAAUCUGAAGAAAAGAGGUUGAGGGUGCACAAGGCCCAAAACGAGUUGCCAUUGGUUGAAACAAAAUCACAGCCGACAUGCUCACUCGGCUUAUCAUAUUGGCAAAAGAAGAAAUUACAAAAUCUUAGUGCACAAGAGCUGAGAAAGAAGAAUAUGGCAUGGGUUCCCAAGAAGAUCAAUCAAGACAAAAAUGAUGUGCAUGCUUCUAUUGCAAUAAGUGCAAUAAAAGUGAAGAAGGAAAAGAAUAAAGCAACAAACAAUUAAGCCGAAGGUGCGCAUCACAACAUCAAAAUCUUCGGUUAGCACAUCAUCCAUUUUCUUCAGCCAUGCCGUUGAUGCCUUUGCCAUGGAAUUCAUCCCUAGGUAUGAUCAAUUACCCUCCAUGGAUUUUAUUUUGAUCCAUGGAUGCAGCAUAAUUUUCUAUAUCACGAGAGGGUAUUACCAAAUCACUAUACAUUUGGUUAGUUAUAUCUUUGUUGCUAAUACAAAGGGGCCGAAAUAUUUUAUUGCUAUUUCAUUUGUUUAUUUCGGCUAUACAUACUUUGGUGGGUGAAUUCUACAUGGACCUCAUGGGAAUGGCCGAUACUUAUAUAUCGCCCUAAGAAUAUCUAAGAAUGGCCGGUGUGGUAUUCUAACAUCGUCCUUAGUUUGAGUAGAGAUUGAGAUAAGUCCUUGCAAAGGAAUUUGUCAAAUUGAUGUCAUUGAAGAUAUUAUGCAUAGACCAAUUCAUCAAAAUUGCAAAGUGAAAUUAUGUUUUGAUUGGGUGAGCUUUGGCUUAUUAGUUUUCAGAAUUUACGUAAGGCCAAAUCAUGGUUGAUUUUUUUAUUGAGCAUCAUAUUGAUAUCAUGCAUAAUAUUGUUUUUAGCUUGAUCUCUCUAGUACCAUGGAGAUUAUAUAUUUAUGGUUAAAUUUGUAACAAUGGUCAAGGUGUUGGUGUUGUUUAUUUAUCUCCAUAUGAAGCUAUUUUGUGAAGCCUCAUGCCGCUUAAAAUAUUUUUGCACAAUGAUCAAAUCCGAAUAUGCAUUGUUAUUCGGAUUGGAGAUUUGCCUUGCUAUAGGUGCUAUACAUAUUGAGGCUUCCGGUGAUUCGUUAUUAGUAGUGAAACAAAUAUCCAAGGGUUAUCAAUGUUUUGACGAAUCACUUAUAGUUUAUCUUUUGGUAUGUCUAGAUGCAAAAUUUACCUUGGGUUGCAUUAAAAUUGUUUAUAUAUUUAGACAUGUCAAUUGAAGAGAGUUGGCAUAGCAAGCAUCCGGCUACCAUGUCUGUGAUGGUGUAUUGCAUAUCUAUCAAUAGCCGAUGCUUAUUCUUGCCAACAUAGGUAAGGCCGAAUUGGUGCUCACUACCUCGGCCACUAAUGAAACUUUUAUGCAGACAAAGUAAGGAUUCGAGAAAAUUCAUUGUUGAUAAUCUGCAAGAUCCUAGCAGAAGGGUGGACAAUAUGGUUGAUGGAUGGUCUUGACAUGCAUACCUAUGGAACUUUAUAGUCGGAUUAAUGAAGUUGGGAAAGUCACCCAAGCUUGCAUCAAAAUAUUCACACAAGCAAUGGCCGAUAUAAACUUAUCGUCCUAAGCAUAUGCAAAAUGGCCGAUGUAGUGUUAACAUCAUCCUUAGAGCAAGCUAUGUGCAAGUUAUUUUUCGGCACACAAGCUUUGCCGAAAAACAGGGGGACAUGUGUUGACACCAGAUUUUGGCACGGUCAAGAACUUAUUUAACAUGGCCUCAAAUGGAGAAGUGAUCUACAUAAAAGAGUUCCGUAUUAUUGAUAUGAACAUCUUUGAAGUUUGGGUCAUCGUCGUUUGAUUUCAUCUCGAAGGCCGAAACUAUGAUCAAAGUACUAAGAUCUUAUAUUCAGAGUACAAUUUGGCCGAUUAAGCCCCUAAGACGACCUCAAAUGCAAAAAUGACCUACACGAGUUGUCUUCGUCUCGUCGAAACGGUCGAUUUUGAUAUAAAAAUCGUUAAAUCCGAGUUCGUAUGCAAAAAUUAGAGCAAUCGGAGUGCAGCACUGUCACAAGGCGAGAUGUGGCGCGCCCCACCAGACACAUGUCUGAUGGGUAGCGCGAGGGAAUAGCCUGUUUUGCGAGACCGAUUUGACCCUCAAGAUGACCUCUGAUCAAAAAACUUUCAAUAUAAAAGUUGUUCGUCUCGUCGAAACGGUUAAGAUUGCUUUUGGGCUCGUUUUCAUCCGAGAUCGUUUACCACCACAAAAAAGACCCGCAAGGUGCAGCCAGUUUAAACCGAACAGUUUUGGAAAAUUCGGACAAAACCAAUCCGAAUUGGACUAGGGUUUUGGACGUGAAUUGAAGCAUUUUCCUUGCACGGGAAGUCCAGCCGCCUCUUAUAUACCUAAGAGGUGACGGCCGAUUGAACAACACACAAUCGACAUAUCAAUCUAUCAUCUUUUAUCUUUACCUUUACCUUCUCCCUUUGUUCUUCUUUUUCUCGUUCUUCGUUCGUUCUUCUUGUUGCAGGGCGGUGAACCUCGAGGACCUAGGGGCGGUUAGGCCGACCUAGGGCAGCCAUAGCCGCCGCGCGCCCUGAUGGGGUCCCUCCCAGACGUGUGGGGUUUCGGGUCCUGAAAAGCACCCGCCGGAUUGCUUGCGUACCGCGCUUCCGGACGGGUCUCCUUCAACAUGAGCUGCGGUACAUCACCCUCGGUGUUGGAGGUACACGGUAACGUAUUCGUGUGGGAACAUCCAUCUCAUCUUGUUGUCUGCUCGUUUAAUUUUCUAUACUAGUAACGCCCAACCAACCCGGAAUCUUGACCAUUCCUUCCACAUGCAGCAGCUGACUAAUCAAAAUCCAGAUGCAUGCAGUAAGCCAGUAACAAACUGGCUUGUAUCAAUUGAUCUUUUAUUUUGGGCGAUGAGCUCCUUUUGAAAACAAAAUGGGAUUUGCGCGAUGAGAACUAGGGCAGGGCCGGCCCUGGGGCAUGGGCAGGGGGCGACGGCCCAGGGCCCAGCCCAGGGAGGGGCCCAUGAUGUAGUGCACAUAUAUAAUAUAGCCAAGCAAAAAUAGGUGAGAAAAAAAUUUAUGAGAGAAGAAAAACGAGAUGAGGUAGGCCCAUCAGAUAGCAGGUAGCGAUGAGCGAAGCGUCACGCACGCCGCACGGCAGGGCCGCUCGUUUCGAUUGUGAAACAAAUCAAUCGAAGAUCUCGCGGACGCCUCACUCGUUUGUUCGUCCACUCGUCACUGUGGUCGCCUCGGUCACCGCUGUGCGCGUCGCCCGCCGUGCGGCAAUCCAGCAGCCGCAACCCGCAGCAGUACGUAUACGUAUGUAUGUGAGCAGUGAGCGCAGCCCACAGCAGUACGUAUAUGUAUCCAUGCAUAACUCUCUGUACCAUGUUCCUGAUCCAUCCCUGCAAACCCCAAUUUCAGUAAUUUCUUUUAUUUUUUAGAACGUAUUCAACUAUUCAUCCAUGAUCCAUCCUCUAAUUUAAGUGUACACGAAGUUCCAAAUUUUAAUGUAUAAUUUUCGAAUUCAAUCUUUCAUAGUAUGUAUUCAACCAUCCUUUUUUUGUCAUUCUAUGCACAUGUCUAGGGUUCUAAUCAUUUAAAUCAUCCGAUGUAUAAAUUUCUAAUUCCUUGAAUAAUUUUUUCUUCAUAAUAUUAGGACAUUAGCCCGCCAUGUUGCCUAAGAAGCAUUUGUCAGUUGCUCAAACAAGGAGAAAAAAGAUAGAAAGGGAUCUGAAGAUUCAACAACUGAAGGGUACUUAAGUAUUAUUGUUGUCGAUGGAGUCAAUUGAAUUUGGUUCUUGUUUGAGGUAAUCAUAUCAUGUUACUUUCAAUUUUCUAUCUUUUUAGUAUUUCUGUCGUAAUAUGACAUUGUCCAACAAUUAUUAUGUUUAAGUUUAUGUACCACGCACGCGCAUACAUAUAUAUGAUCUUAGGACAUAGGGACAAUGUCAUAUUAUGUCCCUAUGGCCACCCAGGUCAGGAUGGCCAUGUGCCCCUAUGUCCUAAGAUCAUAUAUAUGUAUGCGCGUGCGUGGUACAUAAACUUAAACAUAAUAAUUUUGGACAGUGUCAUAUUACAACAGAAAUACUAAAAAGAUAGAAAAUUGAAAGUAACAUGAUAUGAUUACCUUAAAUAAGAACCAAAAUCAACUGACUCCAUCGACAACAAUAAUACUUAAGUACCCUUCAGUUGUUGAAUCUUCAGAUCCCUUUCUAUCUUUUUUCUCCUUGUUUGAGCAACCGACAAAUGCUUCUUAGGCAACAUGGCGGGCUAAUGUCCUAAUAUUAUGAAGAAAAAAUUAUUCAAGGAAUUAGAAAUUUAUACAUCGGAUGAUUUGAAUGAUUGGAACCCUAGACAUGUGCACAGAAUGACAAAAAAAAGUAUGGUUGAAUACAUACUAUGAAAGAUUGAAUUCGAAAAUUAUACAUUAAAAUUUGGAACUUCGUGUACACUGAAAUUAGAGGAUGGAUCAUGGAUGAAUAGUUGAAUAUGUUCUAAAAAAUAAAAGAAAUUACUGAAAUUGGGGUUUGUAGGGAUGGAUCAGGAACAUGGUACAGAGAGUUAUGCAUGGAUACGUAUACGUACUGCUGUGGGCUGCGCUCACUGCUCACAUACAUACAUAUACGUACUGCUGCGGGCUGCGGCUGCUGGAUUGCCGCACGGCGGGCGACGCGCACAGCGGUGACCGAGGCGACCACAGCGACGAGUGGACGAACAGACGAGCGAGGCGUCCACGAGAUCUUCGAUUGAUUUGUUUCACAAUCGAAACGAGCGGCCCUGCCGUGCGGCGUGCGUGAUGCUUCGCUCAUCGCUACCUGCUAUCUGAUGGGCCUACCUCAUCUCGUUUUUCUUCUCUCAUAAAUUUUUUUCUCACCUAUUUUUGCUUGGCUAUAUUAUAUAUGUGCACUACAUCAUGGGCCCCUCCCUGGGCUGGGCCCUAGGCCAUCGCCCCCCUGCCCAUGCCCCAGGGCUGGCCCUGGUGCGAGGCGGCAGCAGCGGGACGCAGUGGUGUAAGGCUGCGCCAGCGGAACGAUGUGGUGCUGCCUAGGCCGCGUCGGCAGGGCUGUUGGCGACGGCUAUGCUGUUGGCGGUGCCUAGGGCUUCCUCGCUGCUCCGCCGUUGCCGCUCCGAGGGGAUGACAGGAGCAGGGAGGCUAACUAACCUAGGCGGAGAAAAGGGAGGACCCAGCGAUGACGGCGGCGGCGGGCAAGCCGUUGGCGGCGGCGACGACGCGCACACAGAGGUGCUACAUCCGCCAUGAGUAGCAGGAGCUCGGGGAUGAUGCGAUCCUCCGCCCACAGAGCAGAGGAGGGAGAGAGAGACUGCGGCGACGACACGAGUGGAAGGGGAACGGGCUUCAGAAAUCCACCGGGCAGAUUAGUACCAUACCGAAAGUUUAAUCAGGACGUGACCAGUUUAUUAGGCCCAAUUCUACUAACUGUAUCACCAACACAGGGAUAUGCACGGCCGUCGGCUGCGAAAGAUGCCAAAGCGCACAAAUAAAAGAGGCCACCGAGCCCAACCCGUGACCCAGCACCCAAUAGUGCACACGGACAAAAAGAUGGCCUCCGAGCCCAGCCGUGACCCAACACCGAUAAGUGCACAUGGACCAGAUUAAAUGCAGCGAAAAUAUCCGCCAUGAGGGCACAGUCGUAAAAAAUAGCGCAAUUGCAUUCCCUGAGUUGGCACGUGCUAGACAUUAGCCACUUGACUUUUUGUUCAAAUUCCUUUUUAAAGCUUUUUCCUACAAGAAAACGCACGGGGUGCAGCGGCCAUCGAGAGGAGCGCUCGAAGCCAGCCAUGGCGUCCGCUCGCAGCUGCCGCGAGGUUGCUUGUAGUGGCCAGGGCGCAUCGUGCGGCCAGCUUUUUGCUGCCCCUCCUCGAUGUUUGUUGCUACAGGGAAGAAGAAAGGGGAUGAGCGGGAAAUCAAACAUUCUAUGAAAGAGUGGGAGUUCAAACAGAAUAAGAUUGCUAGAUCGUAAAAUAGGGUAGCUAGGGUAGCUCAUUGUCCUGUGAAUUAUGCAUGGACAACUCGAAACACUACAUGUUGGUUGCAUACAACUCCUUAUUUUGUUAAGGAUCUUGUAAUAGCUGAUUGCAAUCCUAUUGAAUUGAAAUAAAAACUCUCAUUCCCCGCAAAUAAAAGGUGGAUGAGUAGCAGAGGAGAUGGAGAUGUGCUGCUACAACAACAAGAGAGAUAUUUCACAUGGUGGGAAAGAGAUGAGGAUAAGAAGGGUGGUGUUGACACCCAUUGCAAGGUGGAAUGGCAGGACGCUGGGAGUUGCCUCCCAUGCCUGCGAUCUAGCCAAAUCGGACGCGUCGCGUGCGUCCGGCUCAAAGUUGUGCCAACCAGCCAUGUUCAAACAUUUCCUUUUUUUAAUAUAUCAGCAAACCGUAUAACUAUCUCUUUAUAUUGAUGUCCAAGAUACUGUCAUAAAAGGUACACAAAUCAAAUUCCACGUGAAGUGCUAAUGAUAGAGGACAGAACCAUAUAGACACUUACCAGUAGCACACUCUUGUCGUUACACACACGCGCGUCGAGUGCGGAGAGACAUCAAGACGAACGCACUAACCAACGAAGGGCAUGGUUCCACGAGAUAGGCUAGUCUCUGACCUGCAUUCUGAUCUUGGGAUAAAGCUCUCAUCGUCAUGCCCACCAGGUUCAGAGGUGUGGGUGUUGGUUGUUCUGUCGUCGUCUUUGGCGAAACAAUAGGCAGGCACCUGCCAUUCCGGGUCCUCUGGCACCAUUUCUGGCAUGAAGCUCAUCACAUGUGCAAUCCACCCUACGGGAUCACAUAAAUGCCAGCAAGAUAUUACAAAUUCAGGUUUAUUUUCGAUCAUCAGUGAAAAUGCCAUGUACGUUUUUUAUGAACCCCCCUCCUACCCGCAUUACAUUAUCAUUAAUGAAACCAGAUACCACAUCCAAGUUUACAGUAGUUUAUGCUCCGAAACCCGAAGUCCAAAAACGAAAAACCAAGUCCUGCAAGUACAUCAUUUACUAUCAGUAUGACACACUCCUUUCUUUGUCCGAGCCUUGUUAUAGAUUUAUCUGUCAUAUCAUAUCGUUAGCGAUCAUUCAUGAAUCUACAACUUUGGUCCUAUCAAGAGAUAGAGGCAAAAGCCAAAUGUCUUAAUGGUCCUGGUUCAAGUUUACGACCAAAUUAAACAUGUAUGCAAAUAAUGUUACCUCUUGGUUGCUCAAGAUCUAUUGUAUGCACUGUGCUGGUUUUAAUUGAUAGUAUUAGUUUUAUUUUUCGGGUAAUUGAUAGUAUUGAUAGUAUUAGUUACUAGUGUGGUAUGAGCUUCACUUAGACUAGAAGAUUUUCCUUUGUGACAAAGCAAGUUGCAGCAACUGUCUUUAUGUGUGCCUUAGAGAGAUGCCAUAAUUUCUUUAUGAUUCUAUACAAACUAAUCUCAUCAUUAACACAUUGUUCUUAUUUCUAUGUUUGACUUAAGAAUGAUGAUAUCAGUUUUAGAUGGCACAUCCUGAUUUGAAGCCAUGACCGGCACUUGAUCAUAUCAACCGAGCCAUAUCUUCUAUUGCACGGAAGCAGCAUUGGAACUGUCCAAGCAAAUGAUUGGCAGUCCCGUCCGAGGGGCACGAGAGUGGCAUCGAAGUUGUGAGUAUGAGUUUCUUGCGAGCUUAAGAAUUAUAGUAUCAAUCUCCUAUUGAGCCCCUUUUAUUUAGUUCAGUUGCUCUGCAUUUGGCCUCCUUGUUCCUUUGCCUGUUCUACCCCGUUAUCGAUUGUUCUUCUUCACUUUCUAAUUCUACUGUCCAACAUUUCUCCUCUCCCCAGUCUAGCUGCUAAAACUUGUUUUCUGGCUCCAGGAACAUCCUAAGUUCAAAUGACAAAUUUUAACAUGAUUGUAUGUCCAAGUAAGCAAGCGAGGGUUUUUCUUUUUCUGUACAAACGAUCAUCGAUUCAAAGAUUGCUUUUGAAAGAAAAUAAUUUUGCCACUCUGCAAUUGUGCUCAUGUGCUGAAAUUGUUCUAUGUACUACAGGGAAUGUAUCACCUAGCUCCAGUUACACCUGUACAAAUUCUAGCCUUAAAUAGAAUUUACCGUUGCUAAAGUCCUAUUCUACUCCCGAGCUCAAAUGCUCCCGCGUGAACAAUAGAAUCGGAAAAAAUAGCAAACAAAUUCAAAAAAUUCUAAAUUUUAUGUGAUAAACUUUGACACAUGUUUUGUAUGCAUACAAAAUUUCAGUACGAAACGACAUUCGUGCAAGGCAUGAAAAAAACAAAAUCAGCACUCCAAAAUGUUUCCAAAACUAGCAUUUUUGGAACAUCGAUUUUGUUUUUUUUGCCACGCCUUCCACAAAUGUCGUUUCGUGCUGAAUUUUUGCCAACAUACAAAACAUUUGCUAAAGUUCACCAUAAAAAAUUCAGAUAUUUUUGAAUUUUUUUCAAUUUUACUGUUCAUGAGGGAGCAUUUGAGAUUGGGUGUAGAUACUCCAUGUCCCUACCGUUGAGUAAUACUUGCCCAAUGUUAUCUCAUCGACAGCUAUCUCCAGCAUUGCCCUAUCCCGCGAUACAAAGUUUUAGUUCCAUAUAUGAUUUCUGCACUUAUCAUUUCUCCUGAUCAAAACUCGUUAAAAAAAAGUUGCACACGGUGCUAGUUGCCAUCUUCUCAUUUCCGGCAUGCGGAGUGAGUAAAGUAUUUGAAUAAAUGAUUUCCAAUUCAUAGAAUCACAAAUAUUUUCUUCUUUUUUAAUAUGCUAUGCAACAAUUUGAAAUUACAGAUGACUAGUAGAGUGCCCGUGCGUUGCCACGGGCCAACAAAUGAAUUAACUAAAAAACACGCUCGCCUCGCUUUAUAUAUAAAGCAACGGCCAACAUACACGCAACUGCAUACAUGUGACGCCCGGGAAAUUAAGCUACAGUGAUCCUCUGCUAGUGAUGUCACGUCACCUCAAUUAUAGUUGCUAAUCUUGAGUUAGUUCAAAACCGGUCCAAAAUUCAAAAUUCAAAUUAAUGAUAACGAUAAAAGUUUUCAAAAAUUAAAACUAAAAAGUUCGGUGGUUGUCAAAUAUUACAUCGGUAAUUAUGGUGGAGUGCACACAUUUUUAUAAAGUGUCUGAAUAUUUUAAAAUGAAUUAAAACAGAAAGGGAAAAAUAAGAAAAGAAAAUAAAAACAAACCGAAUAAAUAAAGGGAGGGGAGAAAACCCCACUGGCCCAACUGGGCCAAGCCCCCACCUGGCCCAGCCGGCCACCCCCUGGCCCGGCCCAACCCCCUCACUCCCUUAUCCCCCCCGGUCGGCAGGAAACCCUAGCCGCACCCAUUCGCCCCCCCGAUCCCCUCCUCCUCCCUCCCCGCGCCGAUCUGGAUCGGCUCCGCCCGAUCCCGUCGCCCCCCGACNNNNNNNNNNNNNNNNNNNNNNNNNNNNNNNNNNNNNNNNNNNNNNNNNNNNNNNNNNNNNNNNNNNNNNNNNNNNNNNNNNNNNNNNNNNNNNNNNNNNNNNNNNNNNNNNNNNNNNNNNNNNNNNNNNNNNNNNNNNNNNNNNNNNNNNNNNNNNNNNNNNNNNNNNNNNNNNNNNNNNNNNNNNNNNNNNNNNNNNNNNNNNNNNNNNNNNNNNNNNNNNNNNNNNNNNNNNNNNNNNNNNNNNNNNNNNNNNNNNNNNNNNNNNNNNNNNNNNNNNNNNNNNNNNNNNNNNNNNNNNNNNNNNNNNNNNNNNNNNNNNNNNNNNNNNNNNNNNNNNNNNNNNNNNNNNNNNNNNNNNNNNNNNNNNNNNNNNNNNNNNNNNNNNNNNNNNNNNNNNNNNNNNNNNNNNNNNNNNNNNNNNNNNNNNNNNNNNNNNNNNNNNNNNNNNNNNNNNNNNNNNNNNNNNNNNNNNNNNNNNNNNNNNNNNNNNNNGCCGACCCUCGUCUCUGCAACGUCGGUGAGGCACCGUCCUCUCCUCCUCCCGCCCGCGUGCUCGAACCACGAUGCCGCGCACCGCGUGCCCCGGUCUUGCUGCUCUUCCUCCUGCCGCACGCGCUCACCACGCGCUUCGGAUGACCCCCAUACCGCGCGCUCACGGCCACGACCUUCUCCCCGCGCCGCGACUGGACCGGCGCCCCCCCUGCACGCGCCCGUGCGCGCCCACCCGUGCCCACGGCCAUCGCUGCCGGACGCCCGCGCCCGAGACGGUGCUCUGCCCGCUCCUGCUCACGGCCUCCUCGCCCCGCUCCCUCGACCAUCCCACGCCCCGUGCCCCUGCUCCACGGCUGCUGCUGCCUCCUCUACCCACUGCACCCGCCGUGCCGCUACCUCCCCAGGUCGCCGUGGCCUCGCCUGUGCUGCUUCCUUGCCGCCCCGGCCGCCUGGCCGGCGCCGUGGCCACCGGCCUCCCCCUGCACCGCCCCCCCUGCCGGGUCCGCCCGCACUGGCGUGCACUCGAACGAACGGGUGCUGGACACCCAUUGCGCCCAUCUCCACCCAGCACCCGUUAGCCCGAACCGCUGUGGCCUAGGGGCCCUAUGACAACAGGGGCCCACACCCCAGAACGGUUAAAAAAAGAGAGAAUUAAAAAUGAAAUUAUAAAAUAAAAAUGAUUAAUAAAAUUAAUUAUUAAUUAAUUAAUUAACUAAUGAAUUAAUUAAGUUAAUUAAUCCGGUUUAAUUAAUUUAAUUAACCAGUUAAGUUUAAUUAAACUGUAAUUAGAUUAACCUAAACCCUAAUUAACCUAAUUAGAGGAUGACAGGUGGGUCCCCCCCUGGACCCACAUGUCAGGUUGACCGCUGACAUCAGCAUGACAUCAUGCUGACGUCAUAAAUCUAUUUUUUCGAAUUAAUUAAUUAAAUUCCAGAAAUUAAUAAAAUCUUUAGAAAAUCAUAUCUUUUAAUCCGUAACUCGGAUUAAAAUAUUUUCAACAUGAAAGUUGCGCAGAACAACGAGACGAAUCCGGAUACGCAGCCCGUUCGUCCGCCACGCGUCCCUAGCAUAGAGAACCUGCAACAUUUCACCUCCGGUUCAUCUGUCCGAAAACAUGAAACACCGGGGGUACUUCCCGGAUGUUUCCCCCCUUCACCGGUAUCACCUCAUACCGCGUUAGAACACGUCUAGCUCUGCUUGUUGACCUGUUAUGCACUUGCUUGCUAUGUAUUUACUGUUUCUUCCCCCUCUUCUCUCCGGUAGCCCCCGUGACGAUGCUGAUGCCCCUGUGGACGACUACGUCACCGACGACCCCUCCUUCUUGUCUGAGCAACCAGGCAAGCCCCCCCUUUGAUCACCAGAUAUCGCCUACUCUUCUCUAUACUGCUUGCAUUAGAGUAGUGUAGCAUGUUACUGCUUUCCGUUAAUCCUAUUCUGAUGCAUAGCCUGUCAUUGCUGCUACAGUCAUUGAUACCUUACCCGCAAUCCUAAAUGCUUAGUAUAGGAUGCUAGUGUUCCAUCAGUGGCCCUACACUCUUGUCCGUCUGCCAUGCUAUACUACUGGGUUGUGAUCACUUCGGGAGGUGAUCACGGGCAUAUACUAUAUACUUUACACUGUUACAUUACCUGUGAUACUAUUCGGAGUUGGGGGCUGAAGGGGCAGGUGGCUCCAUCCCGGUAGAGGUGGGCCUGGGUUCCCGACGGCCCCCGACUGUUACUUGGUGGCGGAGUGACAGGGCAGGUUGAGACCACCUAGGAGACAGGUGGGCCUGGCCCUGUUCGGCGUUCGCGGAUACUUAACACGCUUAACGAGAUCUUGGUAUUUGAUCUGAGUUGGCUACGAGCCUAUACGCACUAACCAUCUACGCGGGAGUAGUUAUGGGUAUCCCGACGUCGUGGUAUCAGCCGAAGCACUUCAGACCUCAGCGACGGAGCGGCGCGCGCCGAAUUGGACUGGAACGCCACUAGGCUAGGUCUGCUUUCGGCCGCGUACGCAACAUGCAGGUGUGCUAUGGGCGAUGGGCCCAGACCCCUGUGCGCUUAGGUUUAGACCGGCGUGCUGGCCUCUCUGUUGUGCCUAGGUGGGGCUGCGACGUGUUGAUCUUCCGCGGCCGGGCAUGACCCAGGAAAGUGUGUCCGGCCAAAUGGGAUCAAGCGUGUUGGGUUAUGUGGUGCACCCCUACAGGGAAGUUAAUCUAUUCGAAUAGCCGUGAUCUUCGGUAACAGGAUGACUUGGAGUUGUACCUUAACCUUAUGACAACUAGAACUGGAUACUUAAUAAAACACACCCUUCCAAGUUCCACAGACAACCCGGUGAUCGCUUUUCCGCAGGGCGACGAGGAGAGGAUCCCCGGGUAGGAUUAUGCUAUGCGAUGCGACUGGAGAUGCGCUUGGAGAUGCUACCUAGAUAUGCUACUUGGAGAUGCUACUUGGAGGACUUCAAUCUACUCUCUUCUACAUGCUGCAAGACGGAGGCUGCCAGAAGCGUAGUCUUCGACAGGAUUAGCUAUCCCCCUCUUAUUCUGGCAUUCUGCAGUUCAGUCCACUGAUAUGUCCUCUUUACACAUAUACCCAUGCAUAUGUAGUGUAGCUCCUUGCUUGCGAGUACUUUGGAUGAGUACUCACGGUUGCUUUCUCCCUCCUUUUUCCCCUUUCCUUUCUUUUUGGUUGUCGCAACCAGAUGCUGGAGUCCAGGAGCCAGGAGCCAGCGUCGACGACGACUACUACAUUGGAGGUGCCUACUACUACGUGCAGGCUGACGACGACGACCAGGAGUAGUUAGGAGGAUCUCAGGCAGGAGGCCUGCGCCUCUUUCGAUCUGUAUCCCAGUUUGUGCUAGCCAUCUUAUGGCAACUUGUUUAACUUAUGUCUGUACUCAGAUAUUGUUGCUUCCGCUGACUCGUCUAUGAUCGAGCACUUGUAUUCGAGCCCUCGAGGCCCCUGGCUUGUAUUAUGAUGCUUGUAUGACUUAUUUUAUUUGUAGAGUUGUGUUGUGAUAUCUUCCCGUGAGUCCCUGAUCUUGAUCGUACACAUUUGCGUGCAUGAUUAGUGUACGAUUGAAUCGGGGGCGUCACAAGUUGGUAUCAGAGCCGACUGCCUGUAGGAAUCCCCCUUUCCAACUCCUUGGCCGAAGUUGAGUCUAGUCGAUGAAAAUUGUUUUACUAACUUGGCUGUGCGGCCCAUGGGCCCACGUCGCCAAUUGGGUGGUAUUAGGAUCGUUUACUCCUCGACCUUUACUCUGGGACUCUGAGCUCUCUUCUAUUCGGGUUAAAUGAUUUUGCUAAAAACAAAACUAACUUUAGGUUCUCGCAAGUACUUUCUCCCGGAGAGCCACUUGUUACCGAUGACCGCCUGCUGCACCAGAAGAUUCCGAAGAUACUCUACGAUGUGCUCUCGAGACUAUGUGCCAUCGCUUUUGCAAUUCACUUCCAUCGAUAAAUCCCUCUAGAUAACUACUUACACCUAUCGUUCAUAUUGUCAUCCCCAGUUGCUCUUGUUAUUACAAGAUGUCCUGAAAUACUCUUCGAUAUUCCGAGAAUUCUUUACGCUUACUGCCCUGCAGUUCCUUGCUGCAUGAAUACCCCUACGGAUAAUUACUUGCGCUUGCCGAGUAUCCGCUCAUCCCCAGUUGUUCUUGUGUUUCACAAAAGUCUUCAAAAUAAUAUUCGAUCUUUCGAAAACCCUCUGGGGCCUUUGGCUCUUGAAAUUCUUGCUUGCUUGCAUUAUGGUUAAUCCCAUAAGUCUCGUAGUCUUAAUGACAUUCAUUGUCAUUAUCAUUUUGAGUCUGUUGACUCAAUAUGUUUGCGAAUACACGCAAUCAUCAUUGAUCCUUAUAAAUUACCUUUCCGGCUGAGCUUCCAUUCUUUUAACUGGAGUUGGUUCUCGACCAAUCCAAUUGUCGUUGGUUGUACCCUAAGGCUAUUCAACUUAUCCAUCCCUAAUCAGAGCAUUGCUUUUGAUCCCUUGAUUUGGAAAUCAUAAUUCCUUUGCAUUUGACAAUUGAGUUAGUCAGUUGUUUCUAUAAUCUGAUCUCCUUUCAUUCUUCUUCCUCUAGUUGAGUACCGAUACUCGUAUCAGAUCCCUUGUGGACCAUCAAGUCCUUUGUUGGAUUUAUCUGACAACGCCCUUCAUAUUCAAUAACCUUGUGAGCCUUUCCUCGGAUACAUAAUGCCUUUGGUAAAUUGUAUCCUCUGCUUUUCUCAACCAUGCUCUGCCAUCGAGUUUGUGUUAUUUACUCUUGAAACUUGUGGUAUAUGUUUCUAAGAAGCCCCUAUGGGUUGAACAUAUGCCUUCUCUAAAACGUGUGAACCCGAAAGUUUUCACGAGUCAUACACUUCUGGUGCUUCACCAGACAAAAUUUCAACACUACAACUUCAUCGAACGUGAGAAGUGAAUGAAAGGUUAUGCAUUGGAGAAGUGGGAGUCGACCUUGAACUUGUGUUCAUGCCCAUGGACGCGAUAUAUAUCCUAUCAUGAAAGCUUCUUGUAACAAUAACUAUUUCCUUGAUAACUAACCUAUGGUAUCUGUGAAUUGAUCCCUUGCAACCGUGGUUCCGACCAUGAUUGUUCUUCUUUGAUCUCAUUUCUCUGAUAAGUUAAAACAAUUGUCUUCUAUGGAUCAAUACACCAGUCCAACCUUUACUUUGAUCUUGUGUCGAGUAUUACCCCCCUGGUAUCUCGAGAUUAUCAUGGAACUGCAUAACUUUUUAUGAGUUCUUCAUCAAGUGCUACCUUCCCAUCGAUUCCAAUUUUUCGCGGGCUCUGAGUUAUUGAACACUCAAAGACACCGAUAACUGAACCGAGUCCGCUCUACGGUUCAACAACUCUUCAGCAAGCUUCUAUAAGUACGAGUUUGUUACCCGAUCACGCCAUUCCUAGCCUGUUUGGCUAUAUCGUUGUCGUGACGAAUUCUAACGGGGCUACCUGGUCCUUAUUUUCGGAGCACCAAUUUUCGACGAUGAACUAACCUUACGUCGAUUGUCCUCGUCAUACCCUUUCACCUUAAACAACAAGCUUGAGUUCGAGUUUGUGUCGUAACGGUGGUUCCAAUAACCUCUUGCUUCAUCAUUCCUUUGACUUGAUGUCGUCGCUGAUUGACUACAUCUGCAUGAAAUCUCUCGACAAUUGUGUCGUGAUCAUCAUCAACCUUAUGAGCUCUUCCAGGAAUUCAAUUGAAUUCAUGAUGGGUAAUACCAUCCUUGCCCCUCGAUGAUUCCUGUUCUCAUCGACCACUUUAUUGCCUUCCGUUCAACACAACUUGUUCGAGUUUGGUGUAAACCUUGAGAUCACUGCUACCCAGCAGUCGAUCUUCCUUACCUUGGUAGUAUUACCAUCUCUUUUUGUCAAGAGUGUGGUGAGAAUUUCACCACCUCUUAAUAAUUCUUCAUAACAUAAUACUUCUUGCCAUCUUCGUUCAUUCCUUGGUCCCCGUAUUGUUUUCAACCGGAAUACCGACAAUGGAGCUAUGACGUGUGAAUUCAAAAAUUCUAACAACCCUAUUGCUUUGAAGUGAAUGGGCAAUAGUUCAUUCUAAGUCCUUCGCUAAUUGAAUCACCAUUCUGACAUUGGUCGUGCAACCCAACCCAUAUUUCGGGCGCACCUUUCAACCAAUGUUUAAUUGUGUAUGUUUUCCUCGAGCAUACUUCCGUAUAUCAUUUGAUCUGACAAAUGUUAUCUCCUUGUUCACUUAAUGGUGGAAAUCCAUCUUUUGGGAAUCUCGGUGAAUUGCCGUUGAGUUCACCAGACACCUCCUUGUCCUCUCCUUGGGUUAAUGAUGGACUCUUGUUAACGGAAAUCACUUCGUAGUUCAUUUCCCCGAGAAUCUUACAAUGCCAUCUCGUCAAUUUGCGUUGCACCUUUUCUUCUCAGGUAUCCUAAGUCUGAGGUAUCCUGACACCAAUCGGAUCUGAAUCUCGGUCAGAUAUGAUGGUUGGGACAAUUUUCCAAGAGUCAUGAAGUUGAUCCUUUGAUGACCCGGUAACAUGAUGUCAUGCCUAGCACCCCCCCCCCGGCUGGAGGACCUAUCAUUAUAGAUUCCUUUUCAGCAAGGUUAUCCAUUCGUCCAUGAGGAAAUUGUAAGACUUAUGCUACAAGUUAUUCCCGAUGGAUCCUUCGUGUUACCCAAAGUCUGAUCUUCACCUGAAGACCAUGUCAAUGCUAUCUCGAAGCAUGUCAAUGGUACUCCGAUUUUCAACAGGAACAUUUGAAGCACGAUGCUAAAUUUUAUUUAUCACUUAUCUAACACCGUUGUAUGGGUAAUAUCAUGAGAUUCCUUCCCCCUUACCUAAAUGGUUUUCUACUUUAUAUCCUGUCAUGGAUAUCAUGCUCUGCUUGUCAUUGGGAAGGAUAUACCCCUGAAAUAUGUGUUUAAACACAUUUUCCUUUCCAUUGUUCUGUUUAAUCUGAUGAUCAUAUUUUCCUUCCAUUGUUGGUUUAACCUUUCUUGUGAUCUAUAUGAUCUGAGAAGUAAUAUUUUCCUGCUUAUGUAAACACCUUGUUGUACAAUUCUGUCAGUAAGACCAUGUUACUUUUGUUGAUGACAUUCCGGUAACCACCGAUGGAUGAGAACUCUGCCUACUGGUCCGCCUCGUUCAACGAGCAGGAAAAUGGUUCUCUUCGUCCCUCGCCCUUGGUACCGACAUUGUUGCCGACAUAACUGACAUGCUACUCUCUGACAUGCCUUGCUAUCGUGAUCGUACAAGAUGUCAGCCCCCCUUUCUACUUUUAACCCACAUGGUGGGCCCAUAACCCACAGGUCCCAGGAACGAAACCUGACUCUCCUGUACAACCUAUUGUCAAGGUUAUUCCUCGUGCUUGGCUUUGUAUGUAAUUCACGGGCCACUUGCCUGUUGAUCUAUUCUGGUAUCAGACACAAAACUUAUUACCAUUGCUCUGGACCCCUUUUACACUUUGUUUCAGGCAUCGGAUGAUUGCCUGCCCGCUUGAAACUUCUCAUGGUACCUUCUUACUUGCUCUCGAUAUUUUCUUGAGUUCCAGUUCGAGAGUUACUUUCCGCCACCUUCCCCUAUGUUAGCUACCAGAUAGUCAACCUUGCAUAGGUUCGUUCUGCCGGAAUACCCCCUUACCUAUUCGUAAGUACGUUGGAGUUCCCGAGAAAAGGGCGGCAUCACCAUGAUGACCUGUAGCAGAGAAAUGAUGAUGUCAAGGUAAUGGAUCGACCUCUUCAUGAAGAACAACCAAGACUGAGAAGAUUCGUUAGGAUUUCGUAACCAGACCUUUCCCCCUUACUCCCCUCUUAAAUCUCGGGACGAGAUUUCUUGUAGUGGAGGAGAAUUGUGACGCCCGGGAAAUUAAGCUACAGUGAUCCUCUGCUAGUGAUGCCACGUCACCUCAAUUAUAGUUGCUAAUCUUGAGUUAGUUCAAAACCGGUCCAAAAUUCAAAAUUCAAAUUAAUGAUAACGAUAAAAGUUUUCAAAAAUUAAAACUAAAAAGUUCGGUGGUUGUCAAAUAUUACAUCGGUAAUUAUGGUGGAGUGCACACAUUUUUAUAAAGUGUCUGAAUAUUUUAAAAUGAAUUAAAACAGAAAGGGAAAAAUAAGAAAAGAAAAUAAAAACAAACCGAAUAAAUAAAGGGAGGGGAGAAAACCCCACUGGCCCAACUGGGCCAAGCCCCCACCUGGCCCAGCCGGCCACCCCCUGGCCCGGCCCAACCCCCUCACUCCCUUAUCCCCCCCGGUCGGCAGGAAACCCUAGCCGCACACAUUCGCCCCCCCGAUCCCCUCCUCCUCCCUCCCCGCGCCGAUCUGGAUCGGCUCCGCCCGAUCCCGUCGCCCCCCGACGCCGGCGACCGACCCGCCGCCCCGACNNNNNNNNNNNNNNNNNNNNNNNNNNNNNNNNNNNNNNNNNNNNNNNNNNNNNNNNNNNNNNNNNNNNNNNNNNNNNNNNNNNNNNNNNNNNNNNNNNNNNNNNNNNNNNNNNNNNNNNNNNNNNNNNNNNNNNNNNNNNNNNNNNNNNNNNNNNNNNNNNNNNNNNNNNNNNNNNNNNNNNNNNNNNNNNNNNNNNNNNNNNNNNNNNNNNNNNNNNNNNNNNNNNNNNNNNNNNNNNNNNNNNNNNNNNNNNNNNNNNNNNNNNNNNNNNNNNNNNNNNNNNNNNNNNNNNNNNNNNNNNNNNNNNNNNNNNNNNNNNNNNNNNNNNNNNNNNNNNNNNNNNNNNNNNNNNNNNNNNNNNNNNNNNNNNNNNNNNNNNNNNNNNNNNNNNNNNNNNNNNNNNNNNNNNNNNNNNNNNNNNNNNNNNNNNNNNNNNNNNNNNNNNNNNNNNNNNNNNNNNNNNNNNNNNNNNNNNNNNNNNNNNNNNNNNNNNNNNNNNNNNNNNNNNNNNNNNNNNNNNNNNNNNNNNNNNNNNNNNNNNNNNNNNNNNNNNNNNNNNNNNNNNNNNNNNNNNNNNNNNNNNNNNNNNNNNNNNNNNNNNNNNNNNNNNNNNNNNNNNNNNNNNNNNNNNNNNNNNNNNNNNNNNNNNNNNNNNNNNNNNNNNNNNNNNNNNNNNNNNNNNNNNNNNNNNNNNNNNNNNNNNNNNNNNNNNNNNNNNNNNNNNNNNNNNNNNNNNNNNNNNNNNNNNNNNNNNNNNNNNNNNNNNNNNNNNNNNNNNNNNNNNNNNNNNNNNNNNNNNNNNNNNNNNNNNNNNNNNNNNNNNNNNNNNNNNNNNNNNNNNNNNNNNNNNNNNNNNNNNNNNNNNNNNNNNNNNNNNNNNNNNNNNNGUGCUCCCCGUCCUCCUCCCCAAAGGCUCCAUCAAGCCUCGCCGACCCUCGUCUCUGCAACGUCGGUGAGGCACCGUCCUCUCCUCCUCCCGCCCGCGUGCUCGAACCACGGUGCCGCGCACCGCGUGCCCCGGUCUUGCUGCUCUUCCUCCUGCCGCACGCGCUCACCACGCGCUUCGGAUGACCCCCAUACCGCGCGCUCACGGCCGCGACCUUCUCCCCGCGCCGCGACUGGACCGGCACCCCCCCUGCACGCGCCCGUGCGCGCCCACCCGCGCCCACGGCCAUCGCUACCGGACGCCCGCGCCCGAGACGGUGCUCUGCCCGCUCCUGCUCACGGCCUCCUCGCCCCGCUCCCUCGACCAUCCCACGCCCCGUGCCCCUGCUCCACGGCUGCUGCUGCCUCCUCUACCCACCGCACCCGCCAUGCCGCUACCUCCCCAGGUUGCCGUGGCCUCGCCUGUGCUGCUUCCUUGCCGCCCCGGCCGCCUGGCCGGCGCCGUGGCCACCGGCCUCCCCCUGCACCGCCCCCCCUGCCGGGUCCGCCCGCACUGGCGUGCACUCGAACGAACGGGUGCUGGACACCCAUUGCGCCCAUCUCCACCCAGCACCCGUUAGCCCGAACCGCUGUGGCCUAGGGGGCCUAUGACAACAGGGGCCCACACCCCAGAACGGUUAAAAAAAGAGAGAAUUAAAAAUGAAAUUAUAAAAUAAAAAUGAUUAAUAAAAUUAAUUAUUAAUUAAUUAAUUAACUAAUGAAUUAAUUAAGUUAAUUAAUCCGGUUUAAUUAAUUUAAUUAACCAGUUAAGUUUAAUUAAACUGUAAUUAGAUUAACCUAAACCCUAAUUAACCUAAUUAGAGGAUGACAGGUGGGUCCCCCCCUGGACCCACAUGUCAGGUUGACCGCUGACAUCAGCAUGACAUCAUGCUGACAUCAUAAAUCCAUUUUUUCGAAUUAAUUAAUUAAUUAAUUAAAUUCCAGAAAUUAAUAAAAUCUUUAGAAAAUCAUAUCUUUUAAUCCGUAACUCGGAUUAAAAUAUUUUCAACAUGAAAGUUGCGCAGAACAACGAGACGAAUCCGGAUACGCAGCCCGUUCGUCCGCCACGCGUCCCUAGCAUAGAGAACCUGCAACAUUUCACCUCCGGUUCAUCUGUCCGAAAACACGAAACACCGGGGGUACUUCCCGGAUGUUUCCCCCCUUCACCGGUAUCACCUCAUACCGCGUUAGAACACGUCUAGCUCUGCUUGUUGACCUGUUAUGCACUUGCUUGCUAUGUAUUUACUGUUUCUUCCCCCUCUUCUCUCCGGUAGCCCCCGUGACGAUGCUGAUGCCCCUGUGGACGACUACGUCACCGACGACCCCUCCUUCUUGUCUGAGCAACCAGGCAAGCCCCCCCUUUGAUCACCAGAUAUCGCCUACUCUUCUCUAUACUGCUUGCAUUAGAGUAGUGUAGCAUGUUACUGCUUUCCGUUAAUCCUAUUCUGAUGCAUAGCCUGUCAUUGUUGCUACAGUCAUUGAUACCUUACCCGCAAUCCUAAAUGCUUAGUAUAGGAUGCUAGUGUUCCAUCAGUGGCCCUACACUCUUGUCCGUCUGCCAUGCUAUACUACUGGGCUGUGAUCACUUCGGGAGGUGAUCACGGGCAUAUACUAUAUACUUUACACUGUUACAUUACCUGUGAUACUGUUCGGAGUUGGGGGCUGAAGGGGCAGGUGGCUCCAUCCCGGUAGAGGUGGGCCUGGGUUCCCGACGGCCCCCGACUAUUACUUGGUGGCGGAGCGACAGGGCAGGUUGAGACCACCUAGGAGACAGGUGGGCCUGGCCCUGUUCGGCGUUCGCGGAUACUUAACACGCUUAACGAGAUCUUGGUAUUUGAUCUGAGUUGGCUACGAGCCUAUACGCACUAACCAUCUAUGCGGGAGUAGUUAUGGGUAUCCCGACGUCGUGGUAUCAGCCGAAGCACUUCAGACCUCAGCGACGGAGCGGCGCGCGCCGAAUUGGACUGGAACGCCACUAGGGUAGGUCUGCUUUCGGCCGCGUACGCAACAUGCAGGUGUGCUAUGGGCGAUGGGCCCAGACCCCUGUGCGCUUAGGUUUCGACCGGCGUGCUGGCCUCUCUGUUGUGCCUAGGUGGGGCUGCGACGUGUUGAUCUUCCGCGGCCGGGCAUGACCCAGGAAAGUGUGUCCGGCCAAAUGGGAUCAAGCGUGUUGGGUUAUGUGGUGCACCCCUGCAGGGAAGUUAAUCUAUUCGAAUAGCCAUGAUCUUCGGUAACAGGACGACUUGGAGUUGUACCUUGACCUUAUGACAACUAGAACCGGAUACUUAAUAAAACACACCCUUCCAAGUUCCACAGACAACCCGGUGAUCGCUUUUCCGCAGGGCGACGAGGAGAGGAUCGCCGGGUAGGAUUAUGCUAUGCGAUGCGACUGGAGAUGCGCUUGGAGAUACUACCUGGAUAUGCUACUUGGAGGACUUCAAUCUACUCUCUUCUACAUGCUGCAAGACGGAGGCUGCCAGAAGCGUAGUCUUCGACAGGAUUAGCUAUCCCCCUCUUAUUCUGGCAUUCUGCAGUUCAGUCCACUGAUAUGGCCUCUUUACACAUAUACCCAUGCAUAUGUAGUGUAGCUCCUUGCUUGCGAGUACUUUGGAUGAGUACUCACGGUUGCUUUCUCCCCCCUUUUUCCCCUUUCCUUUCUUUCUGGUUGUCGCAACCAGAUGCUGGAGUCCAGGAGCCAGGAGCCAGCGUCGACGACGACUAAUACAUUGGAGGUGCCUACUACUACGUGCAGGCUGACGACGACGACCAAGAGUAGUUAGGAGGAUCCCAGGCAGGAGGCCUGCGCCUCUUUCGAUCUGUAUCCCAGUUUGUGCUAGCCAUCUUAUGGCAACUUGUUUAACUUAUGUCUGUACUCAGAUAUUGUUGCUUCCGCUGACUCGUCUAUGAUCGAGCACUUGUAUUCGAGCCCUCGAGGCCCCUGGCUUGUAUUAUGAUGCUUGUAUGACUUAUUUUAUUUGUAGAGUUGUGUUGUGAUGUCUUCCCGUGAGUCCCUGAUGUUGAUCGUACACAUUUGCGUGCAUGAUUAGUGUACGAUUGAAUCGGGGGCGUCACAAUACAAUACGUCGCCACCACACACAAUACACAACACACAUCCAAGGUAAGAUGCAAGGGUGCCGAGGAAUAGCAACACCCGUGCCACCAAGCACACUACAAAUGGACCAAAAAGAACUACUGGAGUCGACUGAGACCUUCAUCAUGAGCUAUGCACCACGAAUAUGUGAAGCUGGACAUCGAUGAAACAUACACUCAAAAGCGGUACCUACAAGAAGGAUACGCCACGCCCAAUCCCGGGGAUCAGUUUUUCACUUAGAGCGCCAAGAAGGACAAAGAGUGACUGCCAUGGAGCCUUCAGGAAGGUAAUGACGCCCGCCGACACUGCUCCUGUCGGCCUAGAAAAAAUAAGUUAUGCACCCCAACGCUCACACAUCUUCGCUGAACCAGGGU